RNAcentral lists this long non-coding RNA (72723 nucleotides) under Triticum aestivum (bread wheat). RNAcentral's name for it is "long non-coding RNA (TAES_LNC007797)". The record is from RNAcentral. Lineage: Eukaryota; Viridiplantae; Streptophyta; Magnoliopsida; Poales; Poaceae.
AGGUGACCUGUACAUGUGGGGAAAUGCAAGAGACUGCCAGCUAGGCGUUCCCGAUCUUCCAGAAGUGCAACCAUUACCUGUUAAAGUUAAUUUUCUUGCUGACGGUGAUGAGGAUCCAAGCCCUCCUCGUGUCAUCUCAGUUGCAAUAGGCGCUUCCCAUGCCAUGUGCUUGGUCUCCAGGCAACAGAUUCAGAAAUAGCAGCUGUUGCUUAUCAGCUUUGUAAAUUCAGUCAAAUUUGGACCUCCUAACCUGUGAGUACGCCAUGGAGAGGAUCAUGUUCUCUACUGGUUAGAGCCUGCCUUCUCAGUUGGCGAAAACUCCUGCUCGGUGAAGCCCAACUUCAAGAAGAAACAAUAAUAUUACAGGCAUGCCAUACUUCCUUGAAUUUGAACACUGGAAGUUCUGUUAAUUAGCGAUAGAUUUGUUUCUUGAUUUCUCGAGUGAUGUGAAACGAGAGAUAAAACCGACCGUGUACCUUCUUGAUUUCAGAUUCAUAGAUCCUUUUCUGUAGUUGGCAAGAUGAACAAAAUUCUGUAGCAUGCUGAUUUUAUUGCUGGCUUGCACUUGGCACCCAGUUCAAUAAAUUAAUUGAGCAAUGCUUGCGCAUUUGCUUCCUCGGUCACUCCCCCUCUCAGUUACCUGGGAUUAUUCAUGUCUUGCUCUUUGGUAGGAUGGUGUCAAAAUGUCAGUGACUCGUUUUCCAUGUGUAAGUAAAAAGCUCCUUGAUUCCAUGGCUGCUCUUUGCCACUUCCCUUGCAAAACUCUGCAUUUGUUGGGUGGAUCAAAUCUCCGCACUUCUUUUACCUCAUGUGUUCAAUGUUCUUCCAUCCCAGUUGGUCAAUCGAUUCCGAGAGAUAUAUAUCCCCCAGCUGUGAAUUAACUCCAUCAUAUCCUAGUUUGUUAAAGAAAACCACAUAGUUCAAGCCUAGGUUGUAGUGGAACAUGUUUGUUUCAUCUGGUUAUACUCGUUAAUGUUUGAAUAAGAGAAGUCCGGAGAGUCAAGAAAUGCCAGGUGUUCAUAUGAAAUUUCCCUGUUUUGGUCACACAAGGAAAUAUGUCAGGAGCUCCACUGAGCUGCUCAGUGGAAAUUCUGUCAUCAGGUCGAAGAUUUUUUUUGCAUCAUCACACGUACUAUCUGAGCUGCUUUCUCAAUCAUAUAUCAUGUUUGUAUUGAUGCACACUCAAUAUAGCAUGUUUUUGUUGCAUAAUUUUGGCCUAUCCUUUCACCAGGAUGACAGUACAUAUCAACAGCAUGGUUUGAUUUGCCAACCCUUAGUUGUUUGUACUUCACAUACUCUUUGUGUUCUUCCAAUACACGUCGCAAUGGUGCACGUUGAGGUGUGUUGCAAUGAGGAUUCCUUUCACGAUGCUACAUUACAGUUCAACAUUGAAUCUCCGUUUGUACCUAAAAAGUAUGUUUUUACCUAGUUGGGAUUAGAAGCUGUUUAUCUAAAAAGUUAAAUGUGUCAGUGUAAGUAAUUUUCUUUCUAUUGCAGAUUUUUGUUAUCAAAUGUUGUGUGUUACUGCUAGAAAUUUAGUUAUGACGGUGAACACUUUUUUGUAUUAAUUCACAUUAAAUUCGCUUUGUGCUGCUUCCUCGAUCAAUAUAUCAUUUGGUUUGUAUGACUGCAUAUUUAGUAUAGCAUGUUUUUGUUGGGUGUACUAUGUUGGUCUGCCUAGUUUACUAUGGAGAAUGUAUAUCAUGAUAGUAUGGUUGGUCUGGCCUCUCUAGUCCUAUUCAAUUGUCCAUGCAUCGUGUACUUGUAAUGUCAUGAUAGAGUGUGAAUAAUAUGGUUGCCCACACACCACAUCUCUGUAUAACGAGCAUAGUCUUGAAGCAGUGUCCUAAGAAAUAUUAAGGCUGUCACAAAAACAUAAUAGCCGUUUUCUAGAGAAAAUGAUAUGUAGUGAGAAUUUUGAAAUGUGGCUAAUGUCAUUAAAACGUUUCUGGUCAUAAUUCCCGAAACAGGCUUUUGCCCAAAUUUAUAUUACGGCCCAAAGGGCCGAAACAAAUCAAAAUGGCUAGAAAACCCUCAUACAAGUAGGUCACAAGACCCCCUCAAAAGAAAAAGUAGGUCAAAAGAAAAAACGGCAUCCGAGUGAGUAGCACAAAUACUACCAACCCAAAAACAACACUGCAAUGCAUCAGGUUUCACUUUAUUGUUUCUCCACUAGCAUCUCUAGAAGCACAUGAAUGGUGUGAUGUUCCAUGAGUUCGAGCCAAGCCUGACCCUGCUGCUCAAUUGAGCUUUCUCGCGAUGAUAGUGCGUUGGCAGAUUCGUCUUCUAUGCUCUCGCCUGCUAAUUGUUUUCUCUGUCAGCUCAUGUGGUAUGUAGUUCAGACAUAGUUCAUGGUGGAAGAAGUUGAGUUUAGUCUAGUUGCACUCAUUCAUGUUCAGUUAGCAAGGUUUGGAGAGUCCAAUUACAUGAGUUGUGUUCAUAAUAAUUUUUGGUAUUGCUGUGAAUACUAAGGAAAAUUUUCAGGAGAUCCAUUGAGCUGGUACUGCUGAUUAUGAUACUUUAAUGCUUGACAUUGCAUCUCUGUUAUUAUUUUUAUCUCAAUAAUAAUCUGUGUCGAGUUGUCAAUCUUAAAAUUUAUUCAUUCAGAAGCGGGUCCACUUAAGUUUCUUUACACGAAGUCUCUUACAAAUAUCGCUUGUUGCUAUCAAAUAAUUAGCUAGUGAUACCAAGUGGUGCCUUUUUAUAUCAUUUUAUCACGCUUUUUUACCCGCUUCUGCGAUUGGUAUACCAUGUGGUUUGUAUUAAUGUACUAUCAGCAUAACAUGUUUGUCGGGUGUAGUAUUCGACCUAACUUUUUACCGGAUAUUGAUGGCAAGAUAUAUCUUGGCAAUAUGGUUUGUCAGUAGUGUUUUAAGUUAUUCAUUCAAUGCGACACCUCGUGGUAGAGGUGAAUAAUUUGGUGGGGCGCAUACAACAUGUCCCAAUAAGAAGCAUAGCUGUGAAGCAAUACAUCAAGAAAAUUUGACAAGCUAUUGGUCCCAAAACAGAGUAACCAUGUUUUCAUUAAAAAGGGCAUGCAAUCUUUAGGUCUGAGAGGUAUCAGUAAUUUAGCAAUGAGUCGGCGAUCUGCAAGCAGUCGCCACAUGCAUCCCCUUUUAUGCACCCAUCGCCGGCGUGGGGGAAUGUCUAAGGUCCCUCUUCAAUCGUGGAGGAAAUCACUGCAAGCUCCCCACUGCUCGGAUCGACCUUCCACUUUGGCAAGAUAGAUGAGUGAAGAUAGGUUGCAGCACAACGACCCACCCUAUGCCACGGAUGGAGCUCGCGCAAAGAAAAAUAACACAACCAGUCUGGUUCGUAAUUACUCGGGUUAAUAGAGAUAGGAGCGUGGGCAAAAAAGGGAAAUGUUUCAUGCAGUUGUGCUUUCAUCUCUAUAUCUCUCCCCCCCCCCCAUGCCUGCAAAGAGAAUCGGGGCAUUCUAACCUACUGCAGUUAUUAUUUUUCUUAAGAUGAACAAUUGUUUGUAGUGUUCUGAUUUUUUGUUUGGUUUGCACUAGGCACCUUACUCCGGUUGUUGUGGAACGAACCGAGCAAUGUUUCAUUCCUUCUGUUCUGUCAUUUAUUUAACCCUAUGAAUAAAGAACAUUUUGUCCUAGAAAAUGUCCUUGUAAUUUGAGGGCAACUUGAGAUAGUAUACUCAAAACUAAAACAUUAAAUGUUGAAUUCAAAACAUUUUCUCGAUGUGUUCAUUCACCUCAAGAAACAUAUAUAGUAAAAUUCAAACAUGAUGGCCAUAUUUGGGUCUUCUUUGUGUUAAAACUUCAGUGGCUUCACUCAACUACCACCGACAGCCGCGCCCGAGGUUGCACAAUGACUCCAUUGAUACUCCCAAUGCAAAGCUCCUGCUUUUCUUUCCGGUAAAAUUGAAAGAGUAAAGAGAUACGAGAAACAUGAUUCACCAUCCUCACUUGUCGUUCCUAAUUAAAAAGCUCAGGAGGUGAGAAGAGAAAACAUAUCUUCUCUUUAUUUGCUUUAGAUCUUGAAGGCUCUCAUCGUCGGAACUCCGCUUCUUCACCUCCGUAAACGAUGGUGUCCUCAAAAUAUUCUUCCUUCCUUCUCCUCAUGAUCAAGGUUUUGCUUGGAAAUUUGUUUUUUUGCACGUGUGCACACAUAUCUGAUGUCUUUUGACCCAAUCAGUUAAUCAUUUUCAUGAGAUAACCCAGAGUUUGUGAGUUCAUUCUGUCCAAAUCCUAAUUACCAAUGAAACCAUAUAGUUGAGGCCUACUUCGUGUAGGAAGAGGUGGUUCAUUCCCUUCAUGUUCACGUCAUCAAGGUUCAGAUAGUCAAGAAACAUGCACUGGCUACCUAAUAUUUUUGUUUUGUUUUGGUGUGACACUGAGGAGAAUCUUCACGGAUCCAUCGUGCUAGCGUUGUACUGAUUAUGAUACUUUACUGCUCGAGUCGCAUCUCUACAAUUAUUUUUAACUCAAAAGUAAUUUGCACCGAGUUGGCCUUAAAAGUUGUUCAUCAAAAAGUUGGUCGAGUGGUUCGUCUAAGGUUUUUGUUUGCAGAGUCCUGACAAACAUCACUUGGUGCAAUCGAAUAUUUAGUUAUUCACUAGUAGAAAAGAGGGCUUUGGUCCAGGCCAGGUUAGCCCAUUAGUCCCGGUUCAGUCUAGAACCGGGACUAAUGGGGGCAUUAGUCCCGGUUCGUGAGCGCAGGGCCACGUGAGCCAUUUGUCCCGGUUCGUCUGGACCUUUUAGUCCCGGUUGGUGCCACCAACCGGUACUAAAGGUUAGACCUUUAGUCCCGGUUCGAGCCACCAACCGGUACUAAUGGGGUUUGAGGCAUUAGUACCGGUUCAUGGCACGAACCGGUACUAAAGGUCCCAUUUUCAAACUCUCCCCCCUGUGGAUCGCCUUUUUAGUUUAAAAAAAAUAGAAGAAAAUGAUGAAAAUGUCAAAAAAAUAAAAGAAAAUAAGUUUCCCAUGUGAUAUGUGGUCUAGUUGUUGGGAAAAUUUGCAAAUGUGAAUUUCGACUUUAUUUGCAAAAUCUCUCCAGAAUUUAGUAAAAUGGGCAUAACUUUUGCAUACUAACUCGGAUGAAAAAAAAAUUAUAUGAAAAAUCAUCUACUCGAAAAGUUGCAUCCAAAUUAAAUUGGAGGAACCUUGUUAAACAUUUUCAAAAUCCUCAAAAACCUAACAGAAAAAAAGUUACGGGGCUUUUAAUAUCUAGAGGCAAAAAAAUUCAAAAAAAUCAGUUUUUUUUUUGAAUUUUUGUUAAAUCUGGUCAAACUAUGGUCAAACUACUUAUUCAAGAAGUAUUAAUGUUACUAAAUAACUAUUCAAGAAUAUUAGUGUUACUAAAUAAUUAUUUCAGUUUUUUUGAAUUUUGGUCAAAUCUGGUCAAACUAUGGUCAAACUGUAGUCAAACAAUGGUCAAACUAAUUAUUCAAGAAAUAUUAGUGUUACUAAAUAAUUAUUCAAGAAUAUUAGUGUCACUAAAUAAUUAUUUCAGUUUUUUUGAAUUUUGGUCAAAUCUGGUCAAACUAUGGUCAAACUAUGUUCGAACUGUGGUCAAACUGUGGUCAAACAAUGGUCAAACUAAUUAUUCAAGAAAUAUUAGUGUUACUAAAUAUUAGUGUUAUUUUUUAGAACAAUAGUUUCAAACUCAAACAGUGAAAUGUGUGACUUCAUGCUCAAGCUAAAUUCCUGAGGUUAAUAGGAUUGACAUCUUACUAUUGUCAGGAAAACAACAAGUGCAGACUUGGAAACGAGGGAGAAUAAAACCCGGAAGUUAAGCGUGCUCAGGCUAGAGUAGUGAGAGGAUGGGUGAUCGUCCGGGAAGUUAGAUGAUUUGGAAUGAUGAGGGAUGAUUAGAGAUUAGAGGUUAAAUUGAGCAAUGAUGAGGGGUGAUUAGAGAUGAGAGGUUAAAAUAAUUCAGAAAUUUGAAAAUCAAAAAAAAUAUUCCAAAAUUUUUUUUAAAUUUUUUAAAAAAAAAUCAUAAAAAUUCCUUUAGUACCGGUUGGUGUUACCAACCGGGACUAAAGGUGGACCUCCAGGUAGCGGUCACGUGGAGAGCCUUUAGUCCCGGUUCGUGUUAGAACCGAGACUAAAGGGGGAGGCUUUAGUAACGACCCUUUAGUCCCGGUUCCCAGAACCGAGACUAAAGGUCCUUAUGAACCGGGACAAAUACCCCUUUUUCUACUAUUGAUUGAUACCAAUCGCCCUCCAUUUUUUCACAAUUUUACAGUAAAUUAUUUUAGCUUUUUUCAAAACUGGUAUAACAUGUAGUUUGUAUCAAUGUACAUUUGUCAUAGCAUGUUUAUUGUUUGUAGUAUCUGAACCUAACUUUUUCCGAGGACAUCACAAUAUAUAGCAUGUCAAUAUGAUUGAUCACUAGUGUAUCAAAUUAGUCAUUCAUUGCGACGUCUUGCGGUAGAGGGUGAAUAAUUGGGUGGGACGCACACACCAUGUUCUUAUAUAAGUUCUUAUAAGAAGCAUAGUUGUGAGGCAAUACAUUAAUUUUCUUUGACAAAACCGUUUGGUCCCAAAAACAAAUGAAAAAGGCUAUACCAACUGUGGGCCGAGAGGCGUCGGAAAUUUAGCAGUGAGUUGCAGCACAACUAGCCUUACCAAAUUUUGGCAGUACUCUCCUCCCACUCGGUCAUGUGGUGCUGUUUAUGCAACCACCAUCGGCUUAGGGAACGAUGGGGAUGCGUCACUGUAUGACACCCAAUGGUCCGAUCGCUCCCAUCAUGACUGUGCAUCGGUAACAGAUUGACAAAAAUACCUGUAACAAAUUUUAUAUCGGGUGAGGUGCAGGUAACUGAAAAUAACCUAUAUUGCCACACACAAAAAUUCAGCUGCAUGCGAACCACUUGGGCUUUUUUGACAAACUCUACGCAACUCAAAUGAUGUCCUAGCCCAAAAAAUAUCCCAAAUUCCCCCAUACUUUUUUUACAAAAUAAAUUCUCCCAUGCUCCACCCCAUCGGAUCAAUUCUACUCUUCAUGUUGCUUUCAGUACAUGUCGUACUACUCCGUAUUAUUUAAAAAAAAUAGGAAUAUCCUCCGGCUUCUGCAUCAUGUGAUGCAUGCAACCAACUUAACUAAUUCAAUGAGGGCCGACUCGCCGUCCAUUCACCCUUCCACCGUCGAUGAGGACGGCAAGAUCACAACGAGGCUAAGUCACGCCGUUUUUUCUACACUCUAACAAGGAAUCCUAUGCCAUCCGUUAGCAUGCUAGUAGAGGGCCUGGUACCCAUAGAGACAUACUUCUCUCCCCACCAUCACACCACGCCCAGGGCGCCACAUGGCAAAAUAGAAAUUGCAGAAUGGAUGCCUCUUGUUCAAGGGCUUUCGCAAAAUGUUCAAUCAAAAGGAUCUCCCUUGUGGUGGAGACAAGAUACCUUUUUUUUUUAAAAGAAGGUCAAAACCUCCGGCCUCUGCAUCAGUCAAUGCAUACAGUCAUCGAUCUUUAUUAAUUAUUCAACAGAAGUCUGACAAGAACAUACAUCAAGCUACCCGAAGCUACCACUCACACCUACAAACUCGAUAAUGUGAAGUGCUCUUACUUCCCAUAUCUAAAAGCGGUGUCGUCGCCAAUCCGUUCACAUAGCGUAUCAGAACCUAAAACCGGUGCAGCAAAACCUAAACCGUACACCACAUGCACGCUUUAGAAGACAUCAUCAUCAUCGAACCACUGGCCCAUCUUCAGUAAAGAGAUCCACAUCAUCCUUGCAAGUCCGUAAAUCCAUUGACGCCACCACGGCGCCCAACGGCACCACCUCCAUGCGUGCAAACUGUUGAGCACAUCGCAGUCGCCGCCGGGACACUGCAACACCAUGCCACCAAGUACCACCAGCCGACAUAGCUUGAAGUCUGGAAAAUUUGCCGUGCGUAGCACCUGUCGAACAGGCAUGCCACAAUGUAGCACCUGUCGGUCAGUCAUGACGUGACAUCUCCACCGCAGCUCCGUGCAAGACAAAGCCGCUCCACCUCCUGCCUCUGUCUUCCAGCGCGGAUCCACAAAUGAUGCUCGCAGGAGAGAAAGGACAUCGCAGUGCCGCCAUCGUUUGAUCUGGAAGACCAGAUCCUAGGGUUUGCCUCGGAGCAGCACGAGUGGGUGGAAAAUAGUUACACGACGCUGCCUUCAUCAAGGUAAUGGCGCAGAACACUGCCAUCGACUCGGGUUUCACCGGCAACUAUGUCUCCCCGACUCGCAACCGGGACUAGAUGACGGAUCCCCGACUCUGGUUUCAUCACCUCGGGUGGACCACCUCCAGCGAAGGAGGUGGCCACCACCGCCACACCCAGGGCCGUUGCACUCACUAGUGGAAAAGGGUCAAAUGUGAAGCACAUUAGUGUCGGUUUGAUUUUGAGCCGGCACUAAUGUGUCCAUUAGUGCCGGUUCCAACGGCUAGCCGACCGCUCUCAUUAGUACCGGUUCAUGGCGAACCUUUAGCACCAGUUCGUGCCACAAACCGGUACUAAAGUGAGUGGUGGCAGGAUUUUGUCAGUCUGGGGCCCCUCCAGUACCUUUAGUACCGGUUUGUGUUACGAACCGGUACUAAAGGUCGUCCUACAUAAACCCUUUGCCCACCCGAGCUCGCUCUGUUCUUCCCCUUUCCUCUCUCCUCCUCUCUUCCCCUCUUCCUCGAGCUCAUCACACAUUUUGCCCAAAAUUUGUCAAGAUUUGAAGGCCCCCAUCCAUUCAAAUGAUCACAAAGGUUAGCAACUUUGUUCUUUCAUCUCUCAUUGCUAGAUUAGCUAUGCUUUGUAUAGUGAUUAAUUUGUGAGUUUAGUAAUUUGGAAGGAAUUAUAUGUGCUAGUAUUUUAUUUAUAUGCAAUUUGAGGGGAAAAUAACACUUAGUUUGCAUAUGUAGGUGUGGUUUACUUAGUGCCUUCUAAAUCUCCGUCGUAACCACCGUCGAUCGCCCGCACCAUCCCGUCGCCGGCACCACCUUGUGGUGAGGCUCUUGUUCAUGAAUGUUUUACAUUACCAAAUUGAUGUUGGUGUGAUUUGGAUAUAUAGUUACUCGUAUAGUUAUCUUACCCGUACGUUGUUUCUUAUACAUAGUGCCAUGGUUUUGAUAUCCGUUCCCGUCGGCCCUCGUCCUUGUUAUGAUUCGGAUGUGGUAUAUUCUCUUUUAAAACUAGUUGUUGCAUUUCGUGUUUAUGACAAAUUAUGCCCAUCAAGUUGACAAGGAUAUUUUUAUCUAGGAGGGAUGUGAACCGGAAAUUCCAACCGACCCUAUUGUCGAGAGGUUAAAUUUAGUUGAAAGAGAAAACGAGUAUUUGAAAGAAAAAUUGAAAAGAAUUGAGGGGGAGAAGAUGAAAUUGGAGUUGCAUGUUGCCGAUGUCGUCGAUGAUCACAAGAUCAAGAUGGAGAAAAUACGCUUAAAGAUUAGAAAGAUUAGAAAAUAUGCCAUUGAUAGUGAGGCUUGGUAUCAUUAUGCUGUUGGAUCAAUUGUUACCUUAGUUGCAAUCUUGAUCGCAUUUGUUGUUGCAUUUAAAUGGUUUAGCUAGAGCGUUAUUUGUUUGUUGCAUUUAAGUGUUGUAUGAACUAUAUAUAUAUGUAUGAAAUUUACGUAUGAACUUGUAUUAAUUUGGUCUUUUCGGUGUUGUGUAAUGAAGAUGAGCCGACAAUAGAUGUAUGAUGACCGAUGCUCUCCCAAGUUCAUUAAUGGCGUGCAUACAUUUCUGCUUGCCGCUGAGGCAAACAAGCGGGCGGAUGGUUUUAUGCCUUGUCCAUGUGCUGGCUGUAAGAAUGAUAUGAGGGCUUUUCGGAAUGGAAGGACGACUACAUGGCCUGUGUAAGAAAGAAGAUGGAGGAGGAGAAGAAGAGGAAGCUGGAGGAGGAGCAGAGGAAGCAGGACGCAGAAUGCCUUCAAGGCCUAGAAGCAAGGCACGCGGAAUUGGCACUCAAAUUCCAGCAGCAGCAGCAGCAGAUCGACUCACUUAGCCAGGAAAGGGGGUCUCAGCAGCGGCAACAGCAAUCGGAUAAUCGUACAACAUUGGAUAGCACCAUCCCAUCCAUGCCGAGAAGCAGCGUUGGUUCCGCCCGGGGUGACACACUGCUGGAUACAAUACCCUGUGGAUGACAUCAUAGUGAACACUAACUGUGAGCUACACUCCAAAAUGAAGAACAUAUCCUUGAAGGUGGUGGACGAUGUUGCUUUUACAAUUACCCCCGAAGCAACCUUCCAUUGCAUCCCGAUUCCAGAGGGCUAUGCUCGUGUCAUGGUUGAUGAAGUGAUGGACCCAUAUUCGAGGCUAGCGCUUGACAUUCCUGGAGGUGACGACGAGCACACACUAGGAGAGGCCAUUCAUCAUAUCAUCCUACGGAGAAAGGAUUUGAUCAUCUUUCGAAGUCCACCGACACCGCGUCUGCCGACUCCUCCUCGAAGUCCGCCACCGAGUCAGCAGACUCCCGCUCCUCCAAGUCCACGAACGCGUGAGCCGACUCCUCCUCGCCACUGAGUCAGCAGACUCCCGCUCCUCCAAGUCCACGAACGCGUGAGCCAACUCCUCCUUGAAGUCUGCCACCUCCUCCAAGUCAACGAACGCGUGAGGCCACUCCUCCUGUUUCAAGUCUGGCACAGCGUCAGGCCACUCCUCCUGCUCCAACUCAGCCACGUCAGCCGUCUCCGCCGUCUCAGCAAUCGCAGAACAGACACGCCGCAUCUAUGGUGCGUAGCGGUACGAUUCGAGGUAGUACAGAAAGUAUAGGCGGAGACAAGCGAUAUAAAUAUGGUCCAAGCCUCGCUCCACUUCCUCAUAGGCCUUAUGACAUGACCGAUGAGUAAAACAUAGCCAUAGUACGGGCCCAAGUGGAGGCCCAUUUUGGACCGAAACCGGCACCGCCGCCAAGGGAGAAAGUGCCUGAGAAAGUUAUUGACCACUUUAUUCAUAUGGCAAGAAAACCAUCUCCCAAGCCUGUUGACUCAGACUAUGAGCGCCAAAUCAGGAAGCUACAUCGAGCACGGCUACAGAAGGAAGCGAGCUCGAGCUCGAGCCAACAAGAAGCUGUCAAAAAAUGCGGGAAAACCGUUCCCCAGCUGGGAGAACAGGCGUCGCAAUCGAUCCCUCCGCUUGUUGUGCCAACAACACAUGAGAGUACGCACGCCCGAUAUUAUUGUGGGCAAACCGUUAACGUUCCCCAGCUGAGCGAUGUGGUAAUAACUGAGGAGCAUAUAAUGCAGGCUGAAAUGCUCAAGAUCACUAUUGGACAACUCCUCGAGAUCGAUCCCAUAUCUCCGCUUAGAGAGGAGGGAAUAAAACGGAAAUAUGUCCAGGGCCAACCUUUGGUCGAGCCACACAAGGUCAAAAACCUCCCAACGAGAAUGUAUGAAUUGCAUCAAUGGUACAUGAACAUUACCAAGAUUUCCAGUCGAGUGUCCCUCAUGGUGAAUGUCAAGGAGGAGCAUUAUUUCCAUGAGAAAGCUCUGUCCGUUGAGUAUUCAGAACUAUUUCAGUUAUACAAUCAAGACGCACUCGACAAAUAUAUCGUCUGUUGCUAUUGUCUGUAAGUGAUUUCUUUCUGUAAUUUAAGUCUCAAGCUAGCUGUAGUGAUCAUUUUGAUCAAUCAUUACAUGUAAUUAUCCUCACUAUAUUCUUUUAUGUGGUAUUAUAUGCAGGAUGAAGAUGUAUGAAAUGAAAAAAUCUAGACGCUAUGGCAUUGUGUUCAUUGACCCAAAUAUCAUUAAUAUAAUGAGUACACAUGGAAUCUUCCAACUUAUCGAGCAAGUUUAGAGAAAAGCAUGCUAGAGUUCUUCAAGCGCCUCAAUACCAAUGAAGAUAUACUACUUCCUUACAACUUCUUGUGAGUCACAUUGUCUUGUACUACAAAUUCUGUUUUUGCUUACUAGCUAGCUAGAUGUUAAUAAUUAAGUGUAUAGGGUUUACGGUAGUUGAUUAGUGUUAUGCAGAUGCUCACUUAAUUAAGACAUGCAAACGUGUGCGCAUGCAGUUUCCACUGGAUCUUGUUAGACAUUAAAGUUGAGGAAGGAAAAGUUGAAGUACUGGACUCGCUACUUAAAGAAGAUAUUGACUACACCAUCGUGAAGGGGAUAGUCAACAGGUAAUUUCAAUCAUUAUUAACUAUAUCUCAGCCUAUUUAGUUCGUCAUUUCCUGAUAUGAACUAUUUAAUAACCCCUUUAUUAAUUUUCUUUGCCGGUGGACAGGGCUUGGGCAAAUUUCAUCAAGGUGACUCCAGACAAAUGGGCAAAAAAGCUGUUUUGGUAUCGACCAAAGGUAAGUAAUUAAGUAGUACUAUCUACCUAGCUAGCUACCAUCUAUUUAAUUCUUGUUUCAAUACCAUUAAUUAAUUAUCAUGCUUGAUUAAUCAUUAUCUGAUUCAAUUUCAUUCUCGUAAAGACCAUGAAGCAGGCGCAGGGAAAUGAUCUGUGUGCAUACUACGUUUGCGAGAACAUUCGCAUGAUGGCGUCCGAAAGGAGCAGAUCUCAAAGACAGGACUGGGUAUGUUUGUCAAAACACUAUUCACACCAUUAUCGAUAUCUAGUCACACAACUAAUACACAUGCAUAUUGAUCUCCUUCUUAACAGUUCAGAGAGGUGCGGGAGCAGCUCCUACCAACGGACCGCAUACUAGCACUUCAAGAGGAAAUAGCGGGAUUUUUGCUCGACCAGGUCAUAGAUCCCAAAGGAAAAUACUAUUACCUGCUACCGCCCCCAUGAACCACUUGUCAUCGUGCUCCGAAGGCACCAAGGCAACAUGUAGGAGAAAUUGUGUGUAUAUAUAUACAUGUGUAUGUGUGAAAAAUUAAUGGUGUUGGUUGUGAGACAUUCGAUGAUAUAUAUUUAUAUAUAUAUAUGCGGUUCUAUGAGAAAAUCUAUUUAUAUAUAUGCAUAACGUGUACAAUAUGUAGUAUCUAUAAUACCAGCAAACAAAAAAGAAUUAAAUGGAAAACACAAAAUUAAUGGAAAAUAAGAAAUAACCCCCCCCCCCCAAACAUUUAGUACCGGUUGGUGUUACCAACCGGUACUAAUGGUCUACCAGCACCCGGGCCUGGCUCGUGCCAAGUGGUGGCACUUUAGCGCCGGUUCAUGCCGAACCGGUAGUAAAGGGGGGCCUUUAGUCUCCACUCUUUAGUGCCGGUUUUGGAACCGGCACUAAAGGCCCUUACGAACCGGCGCUAAAGCCUGGUUCUGCACUAGUGACUUGACAUCCUCAUGUUGCGCGUCAAGUCCAUGAGUAGUAUAUAACAUGGCAAUUGGCAUGUUUGUUGGGUAUAUUUUUUGAGCUAACUUCAUUUCCAUGAUAUGACAAUAUAUAGCAUGCCAAUAAUGGUUGGUCACUAGUGUAUUACGUCAUUCAUUCAUGGCAACACCUCGUUGUAGAGGGUGAAUAAUUUGGUGGGGUGUACACACAAUGUUCUUAUAAGAAGCAUAGUUGUGAACCAAUACAUUAGUGAAAAUUGCCAAAACUUUUAGUCCCAGAAAUGAAUUAACCUUAUUUUCCAUAAAAGGGGAUCUGCAAACUUAGGCCUAAGAGGUGUCGAAAAUCAAUAAGAACAUGUUAUGAUAUAAUCCUGCUUCACUGUUCAUGCACCCAUCGUCAGCGUGUGGAGAGUAAGACAUGCGUCCCGAUGUGCGACAACGUGUAGUCCCUCUACAACCCCACUGUUCAAUGAUUGAAAGAGCAUGGUGCCUCCAUGUGUGGUUUUGGUAAUUGAUGACAUUCUCUAUGGACUAAUGAUUGCCUUGAGUUAUAUUUGAAUGAUUUGUCCAUAGGCAUUUCUUGAAGUCCAUGUGUUGGUUUCAAGGUGUUUAUGAGAUGACCAAGGUGCUAUUCAAGGAAUUAUUCAAAGAUUGGUCAUGUAGAAGACAUGAUACAAGGUUGAUCAAGACUAAGUCAAAGAGUGUAUCAAGUUGAACAACAUGCAAAGCGUAGAGGAUGUACCGAAAGGGAUCAAGUGAUUCCAUGAUAUGGUAAGCAUUGUCCAUUAUGCUUUGUGUACUAACCCAUGGUCUAUGUGAGAGUUCUAUGUGGGAUUAUGUUGUGGUGUGCAAGUUCAAGUGGAGCUUCAUGAAAAGAUCACGUCCUUGAAGCUUGCCGUCCAUUGUGGUGACAAUGAACUUGUGAAGAUGUGCCGAAGAGUGGCUCACCCAUACUGGAUAUGGGGGAGCAAUCAACUAAUCUUCAUCGAGCCAACGUAAUCAAGAAAGGUGGUCCAACUUGAGGAAGUCAAGAUCGUCAUCAUCAAGUUCAAGUGGACUAUGUGCAAGGCAAAGGUUUGCUCUUCAUAGGAUUUCUUUAAUGGUCUCAUGGUGUUAGUUGGAAGACCGAGUUAUAGGAUCGAUUGACAAACUAUCAAGAGGGGCUCUCGAGUGAGUAGGUUGAUCGUAUCGUUCGUAGAGAGCUCAAACUAUUGCAUCUUUGCAUCAUCUUUCUUGGUUCUUGUUUGGUGUUUCUCCUUGUGAGAUUUGGAGCUGAUGGUCAUCUUCAUGACAAGCUCGAGUUCAAUGAAAACGGAGUUCACAUGCAUCUUCUACGAUGUUUUCUAUGUUGGGGUUUUUGUCGGUUCUUCAUUCAUAGAGGUUUCACAUAUCUAUAUCUUUGGCAUUUUUCUACUGCCCCUUCUUACUAUAACCAACAAGCUUGUCAUCAUCUAUCCAACAAGCUUGAGUUUGGUGUAUUCGGAGCUCAUUGCGGAAGUUAUGAAAAUUUUGUUUUUUCUACCUCCAUUUGUUUGCUUGGGCUAUCUUGAAGCUCUCCACUGGUAGUACCGCUCUGGGCAGUGGUAGUACCGCUUGUGCAGUACUUCCGCCUAUACUCCGCCCCAUCUCCGCUGGUCUCGCUAUAGCUUCUGAACACAAGCGGAAGUGGAGCAGCAGUAGAGCGGUAGUACCGCUUGCCUGCGAAACUACUACCCGUUCACUACCACUGCCACUACCGCUUACGCGAGGUCUUCUAGAAUGGUUUGCAUCUUCGCGGUAGUAGAGCGGCAGUGCAUAGUCCCCCUAAUACCACUUGCACCUUUCUACUGCACCCUAAGAGGUAGUACCGCUAGGGCGAGCGGUAGUACCGCUCCGGCGGCACUACCAUCUCGGGGCUCUCUGCCCAUUGAUACGUCUCCAACGUCUCUAUAAUUUUUUAUUGUUGCAUGCUGUUAUAUUAUCAUUCUUGGAUGUUUUACAAUCAUUUUAUAGCAACUUUAUAUCAUUUUUGGGACUAACCUAUUGAUAUAGUGCCUAGUGCCAGCUGCUGUAUUGUGCUUGUUUUUUUACUUCGCUGAAUAUUAGUACCAAACGGAGUCCAAACGCAGCAAAACUUUUUGGAGAUUUUUUUUGGACCAGAAAAAAACUUGGGAGCCAAGGAAGGAUCAGAGGGGAUCCCCGUGGGGACCACAAGACACAUAGGCGUGCCCAGGUGAGUCACCUCGAGACCCAUCUUAGCAUGAGAGCGACGCCAAAAAUCCUAUAAAUACAAAAAUCCCUAGAAAUAACCCUAGAUCAGAAGUUCCGCCGCCGCAGCCUUUGUAGCCAUGAAAAACCAAUCUAUACCCCAUUCUGGCACCCUGUCGGAGGGGGAAAUCAUCACCGGUGGCCAUCUUCAUCAUCCCGGCGGCCACCAUGAUGAGGAGGGAGUAGUCCACCCUUGGGGCUGAGGGUUUGUACCAGUAGCUAGGUGUUUAAUGUCUCUCUCUUUCGUGUUUUUGAGUUGGCACGAUCUUGAUGUAUCGCGAGCUUUGUUAAUAUGUUGGACCAUAUGGUGUUCUCCCCUCUCUAUCUUGUUGUGAUGAAUUGAGUUUUCCCUUUGAUAUUUCAUUUUUACCAGAUUGAAUACUUUUAUGGAUUUGAGAGCACAUGAUCAAUGUCUUGCUAUGAAUACCCAUGGUGACAAUGGGGUAUCAUAUUGAUUCACUUGAUAUAUGUUUUGGCACUCAACUCACGGAUUCCCGAGGUGACAUUGGGGUAAUCUAUACAUAGGGUUUGAUGCACAUUCUCAUCUUUGUUUCUCUGGUAGAAAUCUUAGGGCACUCUUUGAAGUUCUUUGUGUUGGAUUGAGUACUAUGAAUCUGAAAUUUUUGAUGCAUAUCGUAUAAUCAACUCACGGAUACUCGCAGUGAAAUUGGAAUAUCUAGGUGAAAUUAGAGUUGGUUGAUAUGUAUUAUAUGGUGUUAUUUUAGUACGAACUCUUGGAUAGAUCGAUCGGAAAGGAUAACUUGGUGUUAUUUUAGUAGGAACUCUUAGAUAGAUCGAUCGGAAAGGAUAACUUUGAGGUGGUUUUGUACCCUAAAUAAUUUCUUCUUAUGUUCUCUGCUAGAUAGGAACUUUGAAGUGAUUCUUCAUCACACGUUGAGGGAUGGUUAUAUGAUCCAAUUAUAUUAGCAUUGUUGAGAGAUUGCACACACGAAAGUACGAACCCUAGGCCUCAUUUUCAAGCAUUGCAAUAUCGUUUGUGAUCGCUACCUUGCUGUCUUUUAUUGUUCCCAUUACAAAGAUCAAUAUCUACUAUCCAUAUUACACUUGUAUCACCAUCUCUUUGCCGAACUAGUGCAUCUAUACAAUUAAUGACAUUAUAACCGUACCUAAACCUACCCUCACAGCGAUUUGCGUAUUCGGCUGUCUGUUUUCAUGAUCUGGAUGUUUUCGGCCGUCAGAUCUCUUAUGUAAAGCCUUCUGCCCUGCAUCUAUCUAAUACUGGCCCAUCUGUCCUAUGGGUCGCUGCUCUGGAGGCCAAAACGAAGGCUUGUGGUUCCCUGGGCCAUCGGCCAGCCCAUUACAUCACUUCGCCAAAGUAGGUCCACUACUGGGCUUCCUUGAAGGGGACCCAGAGGAGCGGUCCAUCUAGUCCCGAUAUUCCGAUGCAAGGAGCAGAGAGGAGCGGUCGGUUCAAUCCUGGCUACCAGUGUCGCUCGAUUGGAUCCGUGCGGGAUGGACCGAGGCAGGUCGAUGUGUGCGCUGGGAGCCUGGGAUCGACCGGAGGAGCGGGACGCGGGUCAAGGCGAUGCAGUCCAAUGGCGAGGGGAUGAACGGAGGCGAAGCAUCGGCGACGAAGGCGAGUGAAACUGCUCCGUAGGGACUUCAUGAGGCGGAUUAGUUUUUACUGUCUAAAUGCUGAAUGGAGGUAUGCGUUUAUUCCUUCUAGCCUGCAUCAAAUCACCACGUGCACCUGCAUAUAUACUUAUUCUCCUCCUGCUCUCCAAUCACCCUUGUUCCUACAGAAGUAGGACCUCAUGCAGCCAUGGUGCUCGGCUAGGUUGCCCUCUAUCUGUGUUCAUGUGUCCUUACCCGAUCCCCUCUUUCACCCUCCAAUUACAUUGUCCUAAAAUCUUCCAUGUCCCAAUUUUGUGCAGGUGGUUCAUCCUGCCUGUGGUCGAUUUAUUCAGGCUUUUUGGUGUAUGCAAAAUGCAACAACUCAAUCCAAUGUGUGCCUGCAGGUGGUGCUCACCAUUGGAGAUCGAUUCCCGUAUUUUUCUUUGGUCAUUUUUUUAAUUGGACAAUCUCCAAUGGCUCCUGGAAAGGUGAUAAUUUCACUGUGACUAUCAUACAUCACGUAUUCAUGUUUUAGCAUUUAUAUACUCCUUAGAUUAUGCACCAGUGUCAUUCAUACCAUGGAACUGUUUAUUCCCAUAUGGGACAUGCAUGUACUUAAAACAAAAAAGUAAAAUGUUAGUUCCAUAAAAAGGCAUCAUUUUCCUUUUAUCUUCUUUUCCAUUUGUGUUUUUCCUUUCACAUUUUAUGCAAACUUAACCGUAGAUCAACAAUAAUUCGACUUUCAACCCUGGUCAUUCCAACAGCUAGCCUUGGAGGAUAUUUAAACUUAGUAUCCUAAUAAAAUUAACAUAUGAACUUCUUCUCAAUCAAACCAUGCCCUUCUCAGAUUAAAAAACUUCUAUUAUGAGCUGAAAAUGUACCCUGUAAUGUAAUUCAAUUAUGUGAAUGUGGUUUCGUCAUGAAAAGAUGAAAAUGAAAUCUUGGCAAGACCUAUCUGAGGUAGUAUAUGGGAAUGUUGAUUCUCACUUAUGGGGACUAUAAACCUCUGUUCUUACCUUACUGUGAAAUUGAGCUAGGUAUUCAAGAUUUUUUGGUGGCCCUAGGACGAGAGACAACUCUUUGUGCUUGUCAUUCUUCAAUAUAAUUUACAAUUAAAAUGUACUUGUGCUUGCUAUUUUCCUACCUGUGCCUUUUAUUGUCAAAGCAGGUUUCUCAGACUUGUACAUUAGAAGCGCAUCAUAAGAAUUUAAAGUCUUGGAUUUACUCAUAGCUUAGUGUAUUUUGAUCAAUUUCAAUGAUUUUUGACAUAGUUGUGCUUAGAUAGUAGCAUAUACCAAAGGGAUUUUUACCGUUUAUUUUAUGUAUUUAAUUUCACUUUACUAAAUGGCUAGAUCAACCCCCCCCCCCCAUUUUUUAUUGAUUUGAAUUGGUANNNNNNNNNNNNNNNNNNNNNNNNNNNNNNNNNNNNNNNNNNNNNNNNNNNNNNNNNNNNNNNNNNNNNNNNNNNNNNNNNNNNNNNNNNNNNNNNNNNNNNNNNNNNNNNNNNNNNNNNNNNNNNNNNNNNNNNNNNNNNNNNNNNNNNNNNNNNNNNNNNNNNNNNNNNNNNNNNNNNNNNNNNNNNNNNNNNNNNNNNNNNNNNNNNNNNNNNNNNNNNNNNNNNNNNNNNNNNNNNNNGUACUAACAUGCUGUGUGUACUAAAGAUCUUGUUUUCAUGCUAAGAAACACUGCAUUGUUUUUGGUCCAUAUAGCAGGAUGGUGAAAAGGGAGUGGGCUUUGGAAGGUCAUGUGUUUGGUUGGGUUUAAAUUUUUGGGGUUUGAGAAGGUUCCAGGUACCUCGUGCUAUGUGCUGAUUAACCUGAUGGCCUUUUAGAUUUUAAGUUUUUGCUGUGACUCAAGGUGAUCUUUGAGCUUUCUUCUUUUGCAUGAAUUUAAGAUUAUGUUGAAUGCUAAUCCUAUUGAUAAAUUAAUGGGAAUGCUGGUUUAUCUGGCAUUCCAAAAAUAUGUCCUGAAAUUGUACCAUUUUGUGUAAAUUUAAUAUUUUUAUUUUACUAAUGAAUUCAUUUUUGUCCAUUCUUACCCUCUCUACAAUUACGUAAACGGUUUCAAUGUCCCCAAAAUAUUGUUGUUUUCUGUCUGAUUUAUUUAUUUGUAUGAUUGAAUUGUUCAUGAUUGUCGGGCUAUAUCCAACGUAGCUUCGAUGCACAUGCAUAUGAAAGCAAUGUUAUUACUCAAAACUACAACUAACAACUUUCAUCUAUCCUUAGUCAAAUUGUAAUAGAGUAACCUAUCAUUAUCUCGAAUAAUAUUGGUGCCCACUAGCUAUAAUGACAGAGCCUGAGGACAAGGAUAACACUAAUGAAAGUGAUUAUAGUAGAAUGCAUAUCUCUCCUCUGGCUACAGCACAACCUCCCCUCUAAAUUUUUAAUAUGUAAGUAUAUUUGUUACACUAUGCACCCCUUAUGGUAGAUGUUCAUGGGAAGAAAGAAAGACCACCAAGGAUCAUCAGAGUGAGGUGAGUUAAAGUACGUUUAGACUUCAGUGGAAGAUGGAUAAUAAGAUAAGGCGAUAGUUACUAAUGGUUUUCUGGAACAUAUGCAGAUGCAAAUCACUGAAUGAGGAGACUAAAGGGUCGACACCUAGGAAAGUUGCAGUUGUUUAUCUUCUUUUUGCCCUGUUUGAAGAUUCUCAAUAUUUUUAUUUUCUUCCAAAAAACUCUUCAAUCACUAACCAAUAUGCAAGUUAACUAUAAUAUUCGUAUAAUUAUAUACAUGCAUAUCAUUCUACAUUAAAACAGAUGGACGGAACAACGUGCGUCAUGGAUGAUCUAGUUUACCAUUGUAUUUGGUUUGUUGGGGACACAAGAGACUUUUUGUUAUUUGGUUGCAGGGUUGUUUGAGAGUGACCAUCUUCACCGUACACCUCACACGGAUUGAUAAAUCUUAGGUCAUCCACUUGAGGAAAAAUUGCUAUUGUCCAACAAAACUCUAUGCUUGGAGGCCCAACACGAGUCUACAAGAAUAAAGUUGCGUAAUAGACAUCACCCAUGCAUUUAGACUGCAUACUACCGCAGGAGCGGUAGUACCGCUUGUGUGCGGGCUGAAGGCAUAACAGUUGGAUUCCCCCCUCCCCCCUCUAUAAAAGGGGGUCUUCUUCCCCAAUGUUUUUUAUCCCUUGAGCUUGUGUUCUUCCCCCAUUGUUGACCUUCUUCGAGCUUGCUAUCUCUAAUCCCUCCAAUAAUUCUUGAUAGUUCUUGAGGGAAAAGAGAGAUGAGAUCUAGAUCUAUGUUUCCACCCAUUACUUUCUCCACUAUGUGAGGGGAACCCCUUGGAUCUAGAUCUUGGAGUUCUUUGUGUUUUGCUUCUUGUUCUUCCUCUCAUAUUCCUCCAUAGCUUUUGUUGCUUUGCUAGGAUUUAAGAGUGAUGGACUUGAGAACUCCGUGUGGCCUUGCCAUUGCAUUUGGUGCAUCGAUUUGAAUUCUCCACGGUGAUACAUGGAGGUGAAAGUUGAGAAGCUUAUUGCUCUUGGGUGCUUGGUACCCUAUAGCUUGUUCCUCUUGGGUUCUUGGGCGCCCUAGAUGGUUGGUGGUGCUUCUGAGCCCAAUCAUUGUGGUGUAAAGCUCUGGGAAAGAGUCGGAGUCUCCAAUUAGGUUGUGGAGGUUGCUUCGAGCAUUUGUACGGGUUUCGGUGACCGUCUCCAAGGGUUGCCAAUUUGUAUGGUUUUAGUGACCGCCCUCAAGGGUCCCUUAGUGGAAUCACGACAUCUUGCAUUGUGUGAGGGCAUGAGGAGAUUACGGUGGCCCUAGUGGCUUCUUGGGGUGCAUUGUGUCUUCACGGCGCUCCAAACGGAGAUUAGCAUCCGGAAGGGUGUGAACUUUGGGAUACAUCAUCGUCUCCACGUGCCUCGGUUAUCUCUUAGUCAAGCCCUUUACUUACGCACUUUACUUUGUGAUAGCCCAUAGUGUUUCAUGAUAUAUAUCUUGCUAUCACUUAGUUGUUUAUCUUGCUUAGCAUAAGUUGUUGGUGCACAUAGGUGAGCCUAGUUGUUUUAGUUUUUGUGCUUGACAAAUUAAACGCUAGUUUUAUUCUUCAUUUGUUCAAGACUAAACCGUUAUUAUUUUAAAGCGUCUAUUCACCCCCCCACCCCCGCUAGAUGACAUCCACGAUCUUUCACCGGUGCAAGCUUCCUUGUCUACUGACUGCUUGGAUUGAUACUCCACUCCUGGGGGAUAGAUAUGAUAACGUAGUUUGCAUCAUAACCUAAUUUAAUUUGAAAUUCACUUCUCAUGUAAUGAUGGCACUAUUAUUUGUUCAACUUUGGAAAAUGCCCAUUGACAUCAUAUGACUUUGCUAAGUUUCAACAAUUAGGAAAUGUUGAGAGUCAAGAAGCAUGAGUUCUAUUCAUAGUAAUUCUUUUGUGUUGGUGACACAUUGAGUAAUUUUUUCAUGAGUUCCAAGGAGCUCAAAUUGUACUGAGUAUGAUAUUUUACUGCUCGACAUUGCAUCUCUAUAGUUAUUAGUAUCUCAAUAGUAAUUUGUACCAUUCAUCAAAAGGUGGGAGGUGUAGUUCUUGUAAGGCUUUCUUACGCAAAGUCAUUUGUAAAUAUCACUUGUCGAUAUCGAAUAUUUAAUACCAAUCACCUUUUUAUUCUUUCACAACAAAUUCUUUUAGCUUCUUUCACAGUUGGUAUAACAUGUGGCUUGUAUUAAUGUACAUUUGUUAUAGCAUGUUUGUAGGGUGUAGUAUAUCAUGCCGAUAUGAUUGGUCACUAGUGUUUUAAGUUAUUCAUUUAAUAUGACACAUCCCAUGUCCUUAUAAGAAGCAUAUAGUUGUGUAGCAACACAUUAGGAACUUUUGACAAACUGUUAGUCACAUAAAACAAAGAAUCUUGGUUUUUUCAAAAAUGGUAUGCAAAAGAUAGGCCUAAGAGGUGUUGGGAAUUUUCUAAUGAGUCAUAAUAUCAUUGGUGCUACCCAUGCAUGGUAGGCAGCGUGCCAGCGUCUCCCACUAUUCCACCGCGCACUGAUGUUUAUGCACUCACAACUGGCAUGAAGAACAAUGAAGAUGUCGCGAAGUGCUGCAACAGAUAGCACUUCUUCUCGGAUCCUUCUUGCGCAUAUUGAUGAUGCUCCAUCCUGGUGAGAGUGACGAGAGAAGGUAGCAUGCGGGAAGAGCAUGUCUGUAAAUGCUACUUUCUGCUCAUUGUGGGCAUUAGGAACAGAUUCACACAACCGCUUUGGAUAAGGGUUCGGCCCAUUUCACGUGCACCUUCUCUUUUCCAUACAUUGGCAUUCAUAGAAAGAAAGAAAAACAUGGAAAAUUGUGUUAUACCUUUUUUUACACCAACGUUAUACCUAGUGGGGACAGAUAACAAGUGACUCAACUUGAUUCAUUAUAACUCGUUAAGUAACAAAUGUUAGAUUUGGCAUUUUAAAAUAAAAACUAUCCACAACUACCGGAAAGGUUUACCAGAAUUUAUAAGUAAAGAGCUCUAAAUAUAGAAGAAACAUUUAAAUCAAGGUCUCUAAACCACCGAACAGCCAUUACCAGCACUAGAACAAGCCGCCAUUGUGCUCCCUUGAUGGAGCUGGCCUGACCUGGCUGACAAUAGCCGAAAAGUCUUUAUGCAUAUGCCCCUAUGCACAUGUGUUCAUUCAAAUCUUAUCAAUACUAGUAACUCCCUACAUGCAAUGCAUGUUGAUAUUAGGUAAUAUAUUAACUGCACACGGAUAUUAGGUCACUAGUAGAAAAGAGGGCUUUGGUCUAGGCCGGGUUAGCCCAUUAGUCCCGGUUCAGUCCAGAACCGGGACUAAUGGGGGCAUUAGUCCCGGUUCGUAAGCCCAGGGGCCACGUGGGCCAUUUGUCCCGGUUCGUCUGGACCUUUUAGUCCCGGUUGGUGCCACGAACCGGGACUAAAGGGUGCGAUGCCCAUUAGUACCGGUUCGUGGCACCAACUGGUACUAAAGGUUAGACCUUUAGUCCCGGUUCGAGCCACCAACCGGUACUAAUGGGGUUUGAGGCAUUCGUACCGGUUCAUGGCAUGAACCGGUACUAAAGGUCCCAUUUUCAAACUCUACCCCCUGGACCGCCUUUUUAGUUUAAAAUAAAAUAAAAGAAAAUGAUGAAAAUGUCAAAAAAAUAAAAGAAAAUAAGUUUCCCAUGUGAUAUGUGGUCUAGUUGUUGGGAAAAUUUGCAAAUGUGAAUUUCGACUUUAUUUGCAAAAUCUCUCAUAUGAAAAAUCAUCUACUCGAAAAGUUACAUCCAAAUUUAACAGGGUUAAACAUUUUCAAAAUCCUCAAAAUUCUAACAGAAAAAAGUUACGGGGCUUUUAAGAUCUAGAGUGGAAAAUUCGAAAAAAUUUAAAGUGUGGUCAAACAAUGGUCAAACUAAUUAUUCUAGAAUAUUAGUGUUACUAAAUAAUUAUUUCAGUUAUUUUGAAUUUUGGUCAAAUCUGGUCAAACUGUGGCCAAACUGUGGUCAAACAAUCGCGAAACUAAUUAUUCAAGAAAUAUUAGUGUUACUAAAUAAUUAUUGUUUUUUAAAACAAUAGUUUCAAACUCAAACAGUGAAAUGUGUCACUUCAUGGUCAAGCAAAGUUCCUGAGGGUUAAUAGGAUUGACAUCUUACUAUUUUCAGGAAAACAUCAAGUGCAGACUUGGAAACGAGGGAUAAUAGAACCCGAAAGUUAAGCGUGCUCAGGCUGGGGGAGUGGGAGGAUGGGUGACCGUUCGGGAAGUUAGAUGAUUUGGAAUGAUGAGGGGUGAUUAGAGAUUAGAGGAUAAAUUGAGCAGUGAUGAGGGUUGAUGAUUGGUAAUUAGAGGUUAAAAUAAUUCAGAAAUUUGAAAAAAUAAAUUCAAAAAAAAAUAAAAAAAAAUCAUAAAAUUUCCUUUAGUCCCGGUUGGUGUUACCAACUGGGACUAAAGGUGGAGCUCCACAUGGCCGCGGCCUUUAGUCCCCGUUCGUGUAAGAACUGGGACUAAAGGGGAGAGGCAUUAGUAACGACCCUUUAGUCCCGGUUCAAAAACCGGGACUAAAGGGCCUUACCAACCGGGACAAAAGCCCCUUUUUCUACUAGUGGGUAGGAUAUUAUUUGUGUUUAUUAUGUGAUUAGUGUUGCAAUUUAUAUUUGGUAUGAUAUUAAAUGCAUGCUAAACCUUUUGGGCACUCACCAUUGGAGCAACCUAUGUCGUUGGAUCGACCUGGAUUGAUGGCCGAGAUUUGUUGUAUCUGCCUCUUUGGAUGUUUUUAUAUCGUUAUAGAUGUGAAAGGACUAUGUACCACGUCACAUGCAAAUUCUAAAAACUAAGUUACACGCCUUUAAUCGUUUUAUGCAAUUUUUAUCAUGGCUGCUAGGGUUUCCUCGCAAACAUUAGCUACCUAAGCUCAUCAUUAAGUAUGAUUGUUCAAUUUUCUUGCUUAAUAUGCGGGGUGUUUGAAACAUGAGAUUUAAUCAAAAGAUCUCAAGUACGGGUAUCAAACCCACGGGAGGAUGGGCUUUAUGACAAAGAUUCUAGCAAGUAUUAUUCUAGUAAAUUGUUCCAGUUGCCUGAACCUUUUAAAUAACAGAACCUUUUUGGUGUAAACCGUGAUAUGGAAAUAGGCAUGGGUAUGAGGACUUGCUUAUGUAUGGGCUGCCGUGUUGAUUUACACUAUAGUUUUGGUGUACACGCGUUAUGAUGUGCUCACACCAAGAUGAAGUGAGGGAUGUGUCCAAAGUAUGUCAUGACAGGUUAGUAACCUGCGUCGAGAGUCAGUCAUCCAACCGCAGCCCCUUAGCAUCUCGCGGGAUUACCUCGGUUAUUAAGGAUUUCUCUAGACAAAUUUAUGUUUUGAUUCACUUGAACAUUUUUCUAAAAAUAUCACAAACCUUUUUCGCAAUGGUGCAAAACAUUUUUUAAAUAACACCAACAUUUUUUCUAAUGAAUAAACAGUCUUUUAGAAAUAACAAGGAAAUUAGUUUUAAAUGCGUGAACAUUUUUGAAAUGUUAAUGCUAUCAAUUUUUUUUCAAAAGUUGGGUGAACAUUUUUUGGCAUUGCGCUGAUAUUUUCUAUAAUUGAGUAAAUAUCUUAUUGAUUUCUUUUAGAAUUUUUGAACUAUAAAAAAAGAUAGAAAAGAAAAAAAGACGACUAAACACAUACAUAAGAAAAGUGUUUAUACUUCCCUCAAAAGAAAAUUGUUCAAUGUUUAUACAUCAGAAACAAUAUUUAUACAUGUUUAAUAUUUUACAAAUACAUGUUUUUUUUCAAAAAUAUGUUUUGAUGUCUACUUCUUUUCAUACACAUUUUAUAUUUUUCGUAUACAUCUGAAAUAUUAUUUUUAUGCACAUUUGAAAAAAAAAUCAAAUAUAGGACUAAGUUUUUUUCAAAUAUAUGUUUUCAAAUACAUGUUGAAACAUUUUUUCAAAUGAUAUGAAAUAUUUUGUAAACUAUGCAAACAUUUAGUACAUUGUAUAACCAUUUCUAUAAAUGGCAUGAAUAUAUUUUUGACACGCUUGAACAUUUUUUUAAUGUAAUCUACAAUUAUGAUGAUCGAGCUCUACUUGUGUCAUCUCUACUGAAAUAGGUGCUUCCGUGACAAGUGUUUGUCUCUAGGAAACAAAUUAAUAAAUAGCAUGACCUGAGAUUUUCAACUAUGUAGAUGGACCUAUAUUUGUCCUUCUAACCUAUCAGUUCUUGGGAGAGGAUCAAUUUCUCUACUAAUUGACUUCUAGAUGUAUUUGUCCUUCUACCUGGCAAGUUGGUAGGUAUAACUUCCAUUUUGUACGGUUUGUAAUUCCUUGAAUAUGAACUCCAAGAGUUCUCUUGGGGUAGAGUUGAUUAAUAGAAUAACGUCACAUGAGGGAUGAAGCCGCCAAAAUAUCAUGCAUUGGCCAUUUACCUUUCUGUUCUACAAUACACAAAGCCUUGGUUGUAGAUAUACUAUGGUGAAAACAAUAGUGUUCUGAUUUUAUUGCUUACAAUCUUGCACUAUUCUUUUAAAUCUUUUUUUACAAAAAGGAGGUUGACCCCCGGCCUCUACAUACGAUCUUGCACUAGUAACUAGCUCCAUUUGUUGUUUGGUGAAUCGGUAAUGAUCUUUUGUUACUUCAUGAUUCCACCCUGUCGAAUGAAUAUUGACUCAUCCUGUAAACCAUGAUUUCAACCGUACGGCAAAUUAAGAUAGUAUACUAAAAAAUAUCAAACUUCAAAUGCUGGCUCCAAAGACUUUCAAGGAGUGUUCGUUCACCUCAAGAAACAUGGCGAAAAGGAAACGUGGUGGCCAAAUUUUGGUCAUGUUUGCGUCAAAACAUUAAUGCUUCACUCGACUGUCACCAGCAGCGGUGCCCGUGGUGACUUCAUUGGUACUAUCAACGCAAAUAUCCUCCUUUUUCCAGCAAAAAAUGGAAGGGGGAAGAGAUAGGUGGAGUUAUGAAAAAAAAUGUUCUCUUGAUUCGCUCCAGAUCUUCCGGUCUCCAAGCCGAGUUACUCGUCCUCUUAACUUCCAUAAAGAUUGGUGUUAGAAACAUUAUUUCUUCGUUCUCCUAAAGUUCAAUAUUUCCCUUGUAAAUUUGUUCUUUGUGAGCGUGUGCUCACGUGUUAUAUGUGUUGUGAAUCAAAUAGUUAAUAUAAUUCUUCCGAUCCUAAUUAUCAAUGAGAUCCUUAAUUCAGACCUUGUUCGCGGUGGAAGAAGUUGAUUUUGUUUGGUUACAAUCAUUCAUGCUCGCGGUGGAUGAAUUUUGAGUAUCUAGUUAUUGAGAACAAGCAGUUUGUUUUUGCAUCACUUUACAGUGUAUUUUUUAUGUUGAUUCCGCAAUUGGUAUAACAUGUGAUGUGCAUUAAUAUACAAUUGGCACAACACGCUUUUUAUUAAAGACACACAACACCCUUUGGUGGGUGUGGUCUCUCGGCCUAACUUCUAUUUUCCACGAUACUAUAACAAGUACUCCUUUGGUGGGUGUUAACAGUAUAUAGCAUGCCAACAUAUGGUUGGUUACCCAUUUGUAAUAAGUUAUUCAUUCAUUGUGACGCCUCACAGUUUGGGUGCACACCCCAUUUCCCUAUAAGUAGCAUAGUAGUGGUGAUUGGUGAAGCAAUACAUAUUUUUUUUGGAAAACACAUUUGUCGCGAAAACAAGAUAAUCUUGUGUUCAUGAAUAUCAGUAUGCAAUCUGUAGUCUUGUGGAGUUGCGGGAAUUUAGCAAUGAGGCCCACUACAGCUGGCGAUAGUUCUGCAUGGUCAGCAGCAAACCGGUGUCUGCUCCCACUCCGCCUCUCGUGGUCAUUUAUGCACCCACCGCUGGCCUGGGAAACCAGAGAGAUGUGUGGAAGCACGGUCCAUCAUCUUCCUUCUGCUCUGACCGUGAGAAGUAGGCGACGGCUAUAGAAUCCCUUGCCUUCCUCUCGGGACUACCUGACCGGUUGCCGGCGCCGCGACUGCCACCGCGCACCUUCUCCCUGAUGGCCGGCAUUCCCGACUUCCGAUGAAGAAACGUCUGCUCAGCUAAUAGGGAUUGCUGCCUAGUCUAUCGACUGGGACAGAAAUUGCAGGUCAUGCAUAUUAAAUUCAUAGAUUAAAAGAUUAUUGGUUAGAUGACAAAUUCAUUCACGUGUACAUCUCUUUACUAGACACUAGUUGGUGCAGAGGCCGGGGAAGUGAAAUUCUCCCCCGAUUUUAUAUGCGACAACGUCUAGAUGCUAGUUUAGAUGAUGAGCUACCGGCCGAGUGUUGAAAGGAGAGGUUAUGAGUGCCGGACGGGAAGAUAUUUUGAGGCAGCGGUAGCGUCAGAAGAGAGACCGAACCUCCGUGGAGAUUUGGUUUGGGUGUAUCUAACUAACAUUGACUAUUUUCACGUUAAAACAAAGAGGUAUGUUUGGGGGGCCACGACGGCAUCUUUGCCACCCGUCUUAUCACGGUGUGGCACCAGGGAGCUCGCCUUUGCCCGGGUGGGGUAGGGUGGGGCAGUGUAAGCUAGGUCUUGCCAGGGGGCUGCUCGGGUGGGGAAGGAGGCGUCUUCCCGCCCGUCUCUCCUAUUGUCUAGGUUACAAGCACUGGGCAAGGAUGGAGUUGGUUCCAUGGACGCCGGUGUGGUGGCCUUAGUGGUGUGAGCCGUGGUGCUCGAAGGAGGAGCUCACAGCUUAGGCACUUUUUCGUGACCAUGGUCCUGUGGGCGGCGUGGUGACUAGGGUGUGACAUUCGAUGGUUGUAGUGCGGUCGUCUGUGCCUCCAUCGGUGGUAGUUAGUGCUGGCUAGGGUCAAAACUUGUUCUGACUUGUCAGACCAGCGUCAGCAGCGUUCUAGUGUCGUCCCCUUCUUGAAUGCGUUGUCACGGGCACUCACUGUUUGCCGCGAUGCUUCGGGGAAAACCCUCAUCCUCAGAUUUUGCAGUGCGGCACACCGGUGUCGUUCCCUUCCUAAAGGGGUUGCUUUGGAUCGUCAUACAUGGCUUCCUCUCAUUGCGGUGGCUUGGUCACGAAUGAGGGCCCCGACAUCUCCAUAGUGAUGUUUAUUGUCCACUUGUUAUUGGUUGGGAGUUGCUUGGGGUAGUUUGGUUGUUCUCGACAUCUUUGUAUCAUGCCUUGGGUGUUUUCUGUGUUGUGGCGUGUGUUUGCAUCAAUGUAUUUGUAUCGGCUGGCUCGGUGAUUGUUGCUUUAUAUAUAAAGUGGGGAAAACCCUUUUUCGGUAUGGCAAGAUCACAUCUCCUCAUUCUGGCUUUCCAAGUCCCUUUGCAAGGGACUUAUGUACUAAUUUAUUUUGAAAUGCACCUCAUCUAAUUGUGUAACUAUUUUAUCAUUCGACUUUCAAAUGCCUAUUGGCAACUUAUGGAUUUACUAAGUUUCUACAACUUGUCUAUGACCUUUAGAAAAUUGGGCAGAAGGAAGCAAUUCUGUUAACACUAAUCUUGAUUCAUGCAUAGCAACUUUAGAUUGAGUUCUACUUGCAACUAGUUAGGUGUUUAUUGAAGGCGUGCCAUGAGCCAAUGAAGCUUUAGCUAUACGUGUGAAGGAGGUAAGAUGUCAAGCUUCUGCGUGAGGCGGCGAACUUGGUAGCAGCCGUCCCCGAGGUUCCAAGGUGCCUCCAUUGGUGCUCCUAAUGCAAAACUCCUGCUUUUUCAUCCAUAAAAAAUAGAAAGGUAAAGAGAUAGAAGGAGACUGGAAUUUUUUUUUCUAUUGAUCCACUCUCGAUCUUCAAGUGUCCCACCUCAGGUACUCUACUUCUUCACAUCCGUAAAAAAUGAUGCCCAUAUGUAUUAUUUAUUCUUUCUCCUUGAGAUCAAGGUUUCAUCUAAAAAAAUAUUUGUGUGUGCGCGCUCAUAUGCGUUAUGUUUUCUUACACAAUCAAGUAAUUGAAUCCGUGAGAUAUCCCGGAGUCAUGAGUUGAUUUCAUCAAAUCCUAAGUACAAAUGAGAUAGUAUAGUUUAGGCAUACUUGAUGGUGGAAGAAGUUAAUUUCGUUUGGUUGUAAUCAUUCAUGUUCAAGUUAGCAAAGUUUGUUCAUAAUAAAUUUUUGGGUUGGUGUGAACGGUAAGGAAACUUUUCAGGAGAUAAGUGGAGCUGGUGAUGUAUCGAAGAUGAUACUUUAGGGAUCGAUAUUGCGUCUUUGUAUUCCCUUUUAUCUCAGUAGUAAGCUCUACCGAGUUAUUACUCUUAAAAGUUUUUCAUCCAAAAGUUGGUUGAGUGGUUUGUGUAAGGUUUUUUACGCGAAGUAUAUUGCAAACUCUUCUUGUUGCCAAGAUAUAUUAAAUUAUGAAUACCAAGCGGUGUAUUUUUUUGCAUCAUUUUACGAUGGAUUUUCUACUCACUUUUGCAACUGGUGUAACAUGUGGUUUGCAUAAGCACAAUUGGCAUAUAAUUUUUGUCGGGUGUAGUAUCCCAAAGUAACUUUCUCAGAAUAUAGCAACAUAUCUCAUGAUAAAUGGUUGGUCACUUGAUGGGGGCGCACACAACAUAUCCCUACAAGAAGCAUAGUUGUGAAACAAUACAUAGAAGGGACACACUAUCGGUCCCUAAAACCAAAGUACCUUGUUUUCAUGAGAAAAAAGGGUGUGCAAACUAUAUGAAUGAGAGGUAUCAGAAAAAGGGGUCCCAUUGAAAUCAUGGUGGACGUCAUUGUGAGUUCCCCUACCUAGUGCUUGAAUAGAACCUUCACACCAAUGAGACAGACAACUAAAGGCAGUUUGUAGCACAACCUCCCACCAUAUACCAUGGAUAGACGUGGGCCCAAAUAGAAAUACCGUAGCACAUGUCUAUUUGUGUUGGCUAAGGUUAUACCUAGAUAGAAGCAUAUGUGGUGCAAAAAACAAAAGGUAUCAUAUGUGUGUUCCCAAGAGAAAAUCAUGCCACACAAGCCUAAUUUAAUUUGAACUGCACCUCUCAUCUAACUGCGUAUCUACAUUAAGUAGUUUAUACCAUUCACCUAAUCCAACAAUGUCCAAAGCUACAAUCUCUUUCUCUUUUCCCCAACCAUAGACCCUCCACCUAAGGUCUCCUCCAUGCUGCCACCUCAUGACCAUCUCCUCUUUUCCAUCCAAUGGCAUCAACGACGACUAGAGGAGUAGGGCUCCGUUCACAUUUUGGUUCUAGUAGGUCCUUUUUACCCUUAGGUUUUCGUUCCUUGGAGGCAUCUGCGAGGUGUGUGGCGGAGAUGAUACAUUCAAAUAAGGUCUCUUUGGCCUCUCCCAACCUUGACGAUGUCCGAGUCAGCGUGAAAAAGGGCCUCCGAGGGUACGUCCUGCCAAAACUGCUAGCCCUAUUCGUAUCUAGUUAGUUGGUGUGUUAAUCAAGAGAAGUAGUUGGCUGGUUGUUGGCACAGCUAAUUCAAAAAAAAUCAUCUUUCAAUUGUUGUAUCGAAAAGCCUAGUUUCUCCAACUAUCUGGACUGGUGGUGAAGGAUUGCAAGCUUCGACGUGUGGGGUGAUCCCAAGCCGAUGUUCCUUCACCUGUUAUGAGAUCUCAUUUCUAGAGGUGUGUGGCUAUUGAGGUAUUCAAAGCCUUAUAUGGGAAGGGUGUUUGCUUGUGUUCCAUUCCCAUAAUGUCUAUUAAGUGCAAUUUUAAAGCUUCGAUGGGCGACAUACAAUCGAAGGAAAACAACCUGCAUAUCUUUUGAGGUGAUUUUUGUUUCUGCUUGGCAUUUAUGUGUUGUUGUCUUUACAAUGUUGUUAUUGCUUUCCUUGAUGAAUAUCUGAUGUAAGAUGCCUUUUGGGUGUCUUUCCUAAAAAAAGGUAUUGGUGCACGCCGAGUAAACUUUUCAUGACAUCCACAGAGUUGGCAAUAUGCUCAUUAUGAUACUGUACUACUUGUCAUUGCAUUUAUGCAGUCAUUUUUAUUUCAAUAGAACUUUUUACCUGAGUUAUUCUUAAAAAUGGUUCAUAGAAAAAUCGGUGGUGGUGGUUUUCGCAAGGUUAUUUACGCAAUGUCACUCGUAAAUAUCACUUGUUGCUAUCAAAUAUGCAGUUAUAUUGAUAUGAAUCACUUUCUUUUUGCAUCAUUUUACAAUGAGAUUCUUCUGCACUUAGUAUACCACGUGGUUGGUAUUAAUGUACAUUUGGCAUAACAUGUUUGUUGUGUGUGGUAAAUAAAAUCUCAACCUACUUCUAUUAUCCAGGAUAUAAUAACAAUAUAUAACACGCCAAUAUGAUUGGUCACUAGGGUUUUAAGUUAUAUCCAUUCAAUGCGACACCAUACGGUAAAUGGUGAAUAAUUUGGUGGGGCACAUAUACCAUAUACUUAUAAGAAGUAUAGUAGUGAAUCAAUACAUCAAAAAAUUGGGAAACAGUUGGCCCUAAAAACCAAGUAACUUGCAAAACAAAGAUCAUAUCUCUUUCCUCCUCCACAAGAAAAGUUCUUCUCCUCCCGUCGGCGCCACCGCCGGUCCGUCCCAUCUCCGAUGGCCUCUAGGCCAUGGAGGUGCAGUGUAUCUCGCCCUCCCCCCCAGCGAGAGGGACCCCGUUCUCACUCUUGUUAGAGUUAGCGCCUUGGUUGGGGCUCUGUGGCAGUGGCGAUGUCCGUUAGUAGGAAUAAUGUCUCCCCGUUCUAUCCCCGUCCCGAUGGUGCGUCAAGCAACGUCGGAGGACGUGUGGAGGUUUGUCUCCGUCGGAUCUUGCGGGAUUCGGUCGGUGCCGGUCUCCGGUGGAUCUAUUUGGAUCCAGUCUUCGUUUAGGUGUUUACAGGUUUGAUCCUUCUGAUCUACGAAUUUCUUCAUCGACGAUAGUUGCUAUUCUGGUGUGCUGGUUCUAUGGGGCCUUAGCAUGACGACUUUCUGACUGUCUACUACAAUAAGGGUUGCCCGGCUCCGGUGAGGGAGGGGCGAUGACGGCGACGCGCCUUUGGCUCGAUCCAGUGCUUGUAGUCGUCGCUAGGUGGUCCACGUACAUGGUUGUAGUUUUCAUUACCUCCGUUGUUCUUUGUACUACCAUGAUUGAAGAUGAAUAGAUUGGAAGUUUCUCGGAAAAAAAAAACAAAGUAAUUUUGUUUUCUUGAUAAAUGGUAUGCAAUCAGUAGGCCUGAGAGUUGUUGGGAAUUUAGCAUGGAGUCCUCAUACAGUUGGUAUUACCACUGGAUGAUACGCCGCAAGCCGGCGUCUCCUUCGGACCUACCAUGGUCAUUCUCAAACGGUGACCUCUUGUCCAAGCUGCCUCCUACAAACUGGCCCUCCACUGUGGCAUGAGAGACGACAGAAGGCUACGCAUUCGGUGUUGGCGUAGGUUGUACAGAGAGAGAGGGAGAGAGAGAGAGAGAGUCCAUGCACGCUAAAACAAACUGUUGUGUGCAUGCAUUGAUCCCAGAAAGAGAGAGAAUCCAUGCCCGCAAAAAAAAAGAGAAUCCAGGCACGCUAGCUCAAUUCUUUUUUGAAACGAAGCAAAGAACUUCCAUUUAUAUUAGUUCAUAAGAGAGUGAGAAUUUAGCGGUUAAUUUGAGGAAACCAGUCACCUAUUAUCUGUUACCAGAAAAAUAUAUGAAAUGCACCGAUUAUUUAUUUAAUUUUUGAGGGAAAAUGCACCGAUUAUCUGACUGUGUAACUAUUACAUCGUUCACCCUGGGAAAGUGGGCUACUGGCAACAUAUGCCUUUGUUGAGUUUCAACAUUUAGUGAAGUUUAGAGAGUCAAGAAACAUGAUUGUGUUCAUGAUAAAUAUUUGGUUCUCGUGCGGCACUGUGUAAUUUUUUCAGGAGAUCCGGAGAGCUGGCGAUUUACUGAUUUUGAUACUUUAAUGCUUAACAUUGAAUCUUUGUAAAAAAAAUUAUCUCAACAGUAAUAUGUACCAAGUUUAUCUCAAAUAUUGUCCAUCAAAAAGUGGGUGAAGUGGUACAUGUAAGGUUUUCUUUAAUAGUACAAAGUCACUAGCAACUAUUAAUUACUGAGACAAAAUGCUUUAUUUUUGCACCAUUUUAAAAUGAAUCCUUUUUUUGGCGAAAAAUGAAUUCUUUCACUAGCUCUUUUGCAAUUCAAAUAUCACGUGGUCACUAUUAUUGUACAAUUCGCAUAGCAUGUUUGUUCGGUGCAACGUCUCACUAUAACUUAUUUUCUUCGGGGUAGAACUAUAUAUAGCAUGGCAAUAUGGUUGGUCACUAGUUUAUUAAGUUAUUCAUUCAUUACGUCACCAAAAAAAGUAUUAGGUCAUUCAUUCAUUACGUCACCGCUUGAGGAUGAAUAUUUUGGUGGGGCGCACAUACCAUGCCUUUAUAAGAAGCAUAGCUGUGCAUGGAUACGUCAAACAAAUUGGACAACUGUUAGUUCCGAAACAAACUAACCUCUGUUUUCAAGAAUAAAAAUGUAUCUUGUUUUGAUGAAAAACGGUUUGCAAACUGUUGGCCUGAGAGGUGUCGGUAAUGUAGCAGUGAUUGCCAAUCAGGUUGGAGGUGCCAAUCAGUAUGAGACGUGUUUGGUUGCCAGCAUACACCUCGAUCAGGCCCGCGCGUGAAGGAUCCAGCCUGUUUGGUAGCCCGCAUACACUAUUGGACCUGCAUCGCACGCUUCUUAAAGCACCUCUGGGCCUGACUCGCUGGGAACUCUCAGAUCAGCAGUUUCUCUAGAGCCAGACCAAGCAGAAGCGCGGCGAGCGGGCCCCUGUACGAGGAGAAACGGGAGGGAUGCGAGGUGUUUAGGUCGUGUCUUCUUCAACCUCCAUUAAGCUCUUUUCUGAUCUCCUCUCUUUCAUGCCCCUCUAAUCUACACAACGAUGCUUUGAUUCGUGGUAAGCUCUACAAGAAAAAGAUGCACAUCGAUGCUACGGUUUCAUUCAGGUGAUCGGUUUGUAGUUUGGUCGAACGUACAUGCUCAAUUUCUUGUUCCCGUUUGGAGCUGUUUUGUACUAAUUUUGUCAGAUUCUUCGCCCACGAUCGAUUGUUUGAAAUUUCCUUUGACCAGUAGCCUAAUCUCGCAGUUCUGCAUAACAUUCGUGUUGCACGUUUUCUGUUUGAACAAUCGUAGACGAGAAGAUCCACAUAUUUCUCAUGGUUGUACAUAUGAAUAUGUGUGCUAUGAUUUAAGACACUGCUUAAUUACACCUCUAGCCGGCGUGAUUUCUCUUGAUCUCCUCUCUCGCAUCUUUUUUGGUAGCGUCAUCAUCGCCGUCGUUCAUCUCGGCCUUCUCUCCAUGAUCCUACUGCAGUUAAGCCGCCAUGUCGCGCACACUGACGGGUUUCUUCUCCUCUGUUCUCUGCCACUGACGGGGUCAAUCAUCUUGGCCUCCUCCCGGCCUUCUCUUUCUCGUCCUACUACACUGGAGUCAUUUUUGGCGUCGAUCAUCUCAGCUCCUCUCUCUCGUCCUACUACACUGACGAUGCCAUGGUGUGAGCACUACAUUUCUCCUCCUCUGUCCACUGUCUUUGCGCGAGCACUCCAACUAGUUCGCCGACAGGGUCGCUCGCCCAUGACUCCGUACUCGUCAUGUCGGACACGGCGCCACGGUCAUUGCCCACCGUAGUCGCCAUGGUCCGGCGCAUACUGCAUUUCUUCUCCCCUUCCUCUGCUAGCUCUUAACGUUGUGUGCUAAUUGCAAGUGCCAACUCGUAAUCAUACCCCAUGUGGGCAACCAAACAGCGUGUAGUUGUAUGCGCCGAGACAAUGCAGGCAACCAACCAACAUGCCAAAGUUGAUCCCUUAAUGUAGGAAGUCCAUAUGCAGGCAACCAAACAACUCGCAGGUGUUGCAUAUGAUGUUGUUUUUUCAUAGCCAUGCUAGGUUGAGAUGUGUAUGCAACGCGGGUACUGUUCAGGACAGCAACGAAACACGCCCAUGGUGUGGGAUGAGGGAAGAAGGCCCGAGGUGCCUAUCAGGUCAGGAACAGAGGACAGCGGUGUACGUCACAUCAUCCCACCCAUAGUCUCGGAUGGAGGCGGGCCCAAACAAAAAUAACGCAGCCCAGACCCAUUCUUGUUGUCAGGACCAAAGAAAACGCAGCCCAUGCCCGUUCGUGCCGGUAGGAUUGAAUAUAUGGACUGAUUGCAAGGCCCAUUCGGAGCUGUUUGGUUCUAUGCCUUGGAUUGCCACACUUUAUCUUAUUUUUUUUAUCAAACUCGUCUAAGAUUAGUUUAAUAAAAUGGGAGUCACAAGUUGGCAAUUCUAAUAAAAUGUUGCCAUAAUUUUUAUGUGUAUGAAACGUGGGGCCUUAGUGUGACUUUUCUAAGGUGUGGCUUGAAUCAAAUACCCACCUAAAUUUGUUAAAAUUGCUUAACUUUAGAUGUAGAACCUUUAGCAAACUUAAUCCCAAACCAAAUAGCCGAAAUAUGUCGCACUGUGUUAGCCAUCAUCUCUCUUAGUCUUCUGCCUUCAACGAACGUCCCCGGCUCCCUAAAACAACAACAUCCCUGCGGUCGGAGGUGCAGAAGUGCAUGUUGUAGAUAAUGCAAUCAAAAGACCGAUCUGAUGGAAGAGACUAUGCAAAAUAUUUAUACGUCAAUACUCGCCCUCACGUGUUACACUCUCAAGCCUAAAGGUGGACCGAAAAUGGGCUACUGUGUAGUUGUGUCAGCCGGGUCUGGAACUAAGACCUCUUGGCUCUGCUACCAUGUAGAAGUGCAUGCUCUAGCCGAUAUAACCACAAGAAUGAUCUGAUGAAAGAGACUAUGCAAUAUAUUUAUACGUCAACAGGAGGGAAUCACGCGAGCGGCACAUCGUUGGGUGGUCUUAGGAGCGUGUAUAAGGGGACGACCAUCGAGAUCCCUAACGAGGCCUCCAUCCCUCCCGGUCCUCCUUGACACAAAUCACGCCUAGUCACCCAGAGGCCAGGGCAUCGAUGUCGCGAGCUCCAUCGGUUCGAAAAUGACAGGUACUCGAGGGAGAAGAUGGCUUACAACGAGUAUUGAUCAGCGCCGAUCCCGAGUGCCGGAGGCGCUGCUGAUGCCUCCUGUAUGGCGUCCUCGAUCUGGAGGUCAGCUUCACUACGCACAUGGAGACUUUGGGCGUAAGGUGCUUGAGGAAAUGCCUCAUGCAAAUCCUCGCCGUCCGCGCUACCAUCCCCUGUGUAAAGGCCGAAGAAAUGGUUGACAUGACUUCUUCCUGUGGAUUUCCAUGGUAUGUUGGUUGGUUUUGGUCCGUUGCAGGACAUUCUUUCGAGACUCUACAAAUUUGUUAGAUCAUGCAUGAUGUAGGAGUGUUCGGCCUGGAUUAAGCAACUCAAACAACAAAUCAUCCAGAGUUGGUCAUGCCUAUCAUUUCUACGCCUGCAACAACAAUCACCACGAUUUGCAACACUCUGAAUGAUCUAAUUAUGUAACAACAACUAAUGAUAAUAAUACUAGGAACAGUAAUAAUAGUAGUAAUAAUAAUAAUAAUUUCCAUGGUAUAUGGCACUAAUGUUGGAUACACCGGUGCAAUAGUUAUUUCUUAGGAAUACCAAUAUACUUAUUACAGGUAUAUCUAUUUAUUAAAAAAUAAAAUUACUCCAUCCGAUACAAAAUAAGUGUCGCAGUUUUGAACUAAGGUCUGUGCCACUUAUUUUGGUUGGAGGGAGUACUAAAAGCUUCCAACUCGCCUCAAAAGUAAACACACAAAAUUUCAGCAUAACGUUUCGACAUACAUUUCAUAAUUAUGAUAUAGUAACCUACUGUAGUUGAUUAGCUUCAUAUGUAUGACCGCAUUUCUGGUCAUGUUUACAAAGACGAAGCACUGGAUGGGUUAUUGCUGUAUGGAAUCAAGUGGGUAAUCCUUGUCAGGUGGAAUUAUGUUAUAGCACCUCAAUGUUCACAUGCACAGGUCAAAUUUGAAUAAUAAUAUAAUAGAAGUGUGUUGAAAGCUUGGUUUUUAUAGCUCUGGAUAGCACCUUUGAUUUUAUUUUCUUUUUACUAUUGUUAGAUUAACUAACCAAGAAAUUCCAAGGAAUCCGUAACUUGUUCAAAUAAUAACUAAAUUGUAAUAACUAGAAGAUCCAGCAAUUUUGGAAACUGAAACAACAGCAUCACAAGAUUAAAUAUAGUGUUUGGCGGAGACGAAUUUUAGAAUUUUAUAUCAUUAACUGUUAGUAGAACAUGUUGUGCUUCCUAUCCUGAAACUUGACCAAUAGCAUGCAUCGGAUUCACCCAGUAUCCCAUAUGCACCGUUUCCCCUAGUUUAGUGUAGUUCUACUGACGGAAUUUUUGGGGACUAGUUGACGGAAACGAAUGACAAUUAGCACACUAGCUACAUGCAAACUAGUACUCCUAAUUACCUAGCAAGGCCCAUGUAUGAGAUCAGACGUUCCAGGCCUAGAGACAUCAAUCCAGCACUAGUCUGAUGGGAAGCCAACUAUUACUAGUCUGAUGGAAUCGGUGGCGCCCUGCCGCCCAAGAAGGCCCAAGAAGGACCUCCACUUGUUCGUCAAGUGGCCCAAGGUCAUGCGCAUCCAGCGCCAGCGCCGCAUACUCAAGGAGCGCCUCAAGGUGCCCACGGCACUCCUCCAGUUCACCCGCACCCUCGACAAGAACCUCGGUAUAUACGAAACUUGCCUGUUCAUUCGUCGCUGGAUUCGGACUCCACAAUGCCUGAGGUUGUUUAGUUGUUGUGCUGUAUUAUUUUGAGCGAGUAUUAACUUGGCUAAGAUAAUCAAAAGUGAUGGAUGUGUUUUAAGGCCCUGUUUGGUUCAGAAGUCCUAAGACUUUUUUAGUCCCAACUUAUAAGUCCCAAGUCCCUAAAAAGUCUCUACCUGUUUGGUUCCUGGGACUUAUAAAUUCCUAUAAGACCAUAUUACAACUAUAAAAAGUCCCUAUAAAACUCUCCUUGAGAGUCUUAUUUCAUAAGUCCCAAUCCCACUUUAAGUCCCUAUAAGUCCUUCCUGUUUGGUUUAGAUGGGACUUAUAGAGACUUUUUUAAGUCCCUAAACCAAUAAGUCCCUGGAAACAAACACCCUCGAAGAUUCCUGCUGGUAGAUACAUUGGGAGCCUCUUCUUCCGUGAUAAGGGCAUUGCAUGCUGUUGUCCUACAUUUUUCGAAAAGGGGCGCUUUAUUACUUAAAAGGUUUUGCUGUUGUCCUACAUACAUACUACUAUGUUUAUUUUAAUGAAUAUAUUGACAUGACAUCACACUAUGAAGUAAUAGACUGGUUAGCAGAAGCUUUCACUUCUAAGGAUGCCAGCAGUACGAAGAAUCGUUGUAGUUAAGUGACUGUGUGGCUGUUGUGGCCUUGCUAUGUGUGUACCUGAAGUCACACCUAUAUAAUUGCUUUUCCUUUAUGUUGGAACGUGUCUAGUUAAUGAUCGGUAUUGACAAUUUUUGGUGGUUACUUAUGCUUAUUGUGUAUCACAUUAAAAAAGAAAAUGCACAAUGAGCUUACCUUUGUAUGUCAAGAUUUUUACUUUAUCUAUUACCCUUUUGCUGUAGUUUGUCUUCGUACAGAAUCCAAUCUUAGUGUUCUUCCUAUCUUAAAAAGAAAAUGCACAAUGAGCUUACCUUUGUAUGUCAAGAUUUUUUCUUUAUCUGUUACCCUUUGGCUGUAGUUUAUCUUCGUACAGAUUUGGUGGUUAUUUAUGCUUAUUGUGUAUCACAUUGAAAAAGAAAAUGCACAAUGAGCUUACGUUUGUAUGUCAAGAUUUUUUCUUUAUCUGUUACCCUUUAGUUGUAGUUUAUCUUCGUACAGAAUCCAAUCUUGGUGUUCUUCCUAUUUGCAUUUGAUUAUGUUUUUAAAAUUCCCUAGCACAACUAUAUAUAACAAUGUGGGUAUGUGUUUACCUCUCCUGUUUUUACUGUUAAAGGUGUCCAAUUUGGUUCUGUUCUGUCACACCCUAGCUAGUCAUGCAUUAGAGUGUUGCAUCAUGUUUACUCUUUUAUCAGAAACUUGAAAUGGGGAUGACAGAACCCCCAGUCCCCUCUGAAACCAACUAGGGUUACUAAAAUAAUUUUUCAAUGAACCUGAAAUGCCCUUCUAAAAUGCCCAUCAUUUUUGUCUUGGUUCAGAACCUCUGCCAAAAGUGGUGCACAUUUUCCUAGGCCAUCCUAGGGUUUUUGAAUUAAAUCAUAAAUAUUUGAAUUUGGGCAUUUAAAAUAAUAUAAAAUAUUCAAAUGCUCAAAUAUCUCCAAACUAAAAUGUUUCAUGUUGGAAAUAAUCCAACUAUGGGCCAGGAAUAGUUUGGUGAUUUUUGAAGUUGCCUAGGUAUUUUAUUUAAUUCAACAAAGUUGCAGAUAUAUUAAAUAAAAACAGAAACAGAAGAAAAUGAAAAGGCUUACCUGUCGCCCACCAGCCAGCCCACCUGGCCGGCCCAGCCCGGCCACCGCUCCAGCGAGCUGCUUGGCUUGCCAGGCAGGCAGCCAAGGUGCUCGGCGGCGGCACCGCAGCUCGCCACGCAGCUGCUCGCCGCCUCGCCGCCUCCCUCGCCCGGCUAACGCCGUGAACCGGCCUCCCUCUCUCCCCCGAACCCCCCAGACACCCCCUCUCCUCUCCAGCUCCUCCCCCUCGCACGCCCCAGCCAUGGCCGACGCCACCGUCGCCGCACCACCAUCGUAGCCGUGCUCCCCGUCGUCUCCACACCGCGCCACCCUGUCCAGAAGCUCCGCCGUCCUCUACUCCUUCGAGCUAGCCGAGCCCCGAGCGCUCGCGUGCCUCGAAGCCGCCGCACCGACCUCGCCCGAGCUCGCCGUCGCCGGAGAUCCCUUUCAACGCCGUCGCUGCCUCAGCUCGUCCCCGACCCCGCCGGUGGCCUCUACGGGAGCGUUGUGAGCCUAGCUACUCCUCCGACCCUCUCCCUCUCAUUCCCGAGCUGUGUAGCCACCGCACGAGGAUCACACGCCCGCACCGUCGCGGACCUCGUCGCCGACGUGCUUCCGGCCACACUCCGGCCACAAGAUGGUGUCCAUCUUGCUCACCGAGUCCCACAGCACCUAGCUAGCCACUCCACGAGCCUCACCGACCCCUCUAGCGCCAAGUUCAUCCUCGACCGAACCCCGGUGGCCGCCAAAGUCGUCGCCGGCGCCAACUCCGGCCACCCCGACCCCAACGGACUCCGCCAAGAGCUGCGGUUUGUCCUCAGCUCCACUCCGGUGGUCUCCGCGGUCCAUUUGGUGGCCGAAAUGGCCAAAACCACUCCCGCCGCCGCGUCGGGCUCGCCGGCGGCUAAACGCCGGCAGCCGACUUUGACUUUGACCACGGGUGGGCCCUGGUUGACUCCCCUGAGUCAAUGACAGGUGGGGCCCAGCCCUGCUAAUUACACAGGAUUAGUUUUAAUUAAAUCUCAAUUAAAAUAAUCACCCUGACAUGCGGGACCCAUUGUCAGGUUUGACCCAGACCUGUUCCGUUGACCUGCUGACGUCACACUGACGUCAGGCUGACGCAGUAAUUGAUUUUCUGGAUUUAAAUUAAAUCAGGAAAUUCCAGAAUAUUAUUUAAACUUCAAAAAUUCAUAACUUUUAUUCUGUAACUCCAAAUUGGACAAAUUAUAUAUGAAAAAUGAUCAGAAAAAUCCAAUCUGUCCAUCUGUACUAUUUUCAUGCAUGAUCAAACAAGUUAAAUUGAUGUUUUAAGCAGAACAAGGAAAAGCACUUAAAGAGGCCAUGUUUGAGUUUGAAAUUUGAAUCUUUGAUUCAAAUUUGUUCAAACCCUUCUGGUUUUAGUUGCAUUAGCCCAACACACUCAUAUUGCCAUGUUUCAUGCAUGCAUCAUAUUGUUGCACAUUGUUUGGUGAUGGUUGUGUAUCGGUGUCCUUUGCGACAGGUUCUGCCCCCGAGGAGUACCGUGAUUACCCUAACGAAGAACCUUAUGAGUGCAUCGAACCAUCAGGCAAGCAACCAACCAUUUGAUCAUAUCGAUACAAUCCCAUGUUCUCGCUCCUGCUCUCUUUUACUGCAUUAAGACAACGCGAUUCAAACUGCUGUGUGCUACGGUAGUUGAACCCAUUUCCUCUGCAUGACCUGUCAUUGCCACAGUAACUAGAUGAAACCCACUAGCAUGUGUAGGAGUUGAUUGAGCCCUAUGUAUGUGUUGUUCCUACCUUGCUAUGCCUGCUAUGCUUAGAGUCGUGUCAGGUCUGGUUCAUCUGGGUGAUGGGCUAGAGUGAAAUGAUUAGGUCGGUAAUAAGAGUGGUGUGGUGAACACGAUUUGGUAAAGGUAUCGAUGAGAGGCCAUGUAGGAGUACAUGGUGGGUUGUUUCAUUGAAGCCGACCUUAAGCACUGAGAUUUGUAUAUGUGAUUUAAGAUACAACUACUACCAUGCAUUGGGCCCUGAAAUAUGACCCCGCUCGACUUCUUAUUCACCCUAGCUCUCUGUCCAGGAGUUGCAAGUAGUUUCUGGUGUUUGUAGCCUACUGGAGGCCGUGGACAGCGCUGACCGUAGGGGUGGGCUGUGAUGCGGUAGGUACGUGGCACGGUGUACCGAAUACCCGUUAGGUAUCUCGGGAACCCUGUUCACAUCGUUCGGGGCCGUAUGGGAAACCUCGGCCGGACUCCCUGCGGAUGGAACCUGAAUAGGCGAUAAACCUGGACUAGAGGCUUAAGUGUUUAGGUAGGUCGUGGUCUACACCCACGUCGGCUUUCGCUUGAAGUCUGCCGAGCACAUGUCGUGUGCAGACGCUAAGUGGUGGAAACAUGUAUGAAGAAGUACACCCCUGCAGGGUUAACAUGAUCUAUUCGAAUAGCCGCGUCCGCGGUAAAGGACUACUUGGUUACCUAUACAGUUCAUAGACAAGUAGAUGGAAACUACUAAAAGCCUCAAGAUAAGUGUGAGUGCCGAGGAUGGCUCUUCCGUAGGAAGACGGAGGUGGAUCCUCGGUAGUGUAUUGAAGUGGUGAGUAGUGGACUCGUGUGCGCAAAACCAUUUCAGUUGGAGUAUCGUAGGAUAGUCUAGCCAAGAGUCAAAGCUGGCUUGCUGCAAUAACUCCACCAACCCUUCUUGAUACCAUGCAUGUAUGUAGGAUCUGAUGUAAGUCUUGCUGAGUACCUUUGUACUCAUGUUGCUAUAAUCUACAUUUUUACAGAAGACGCUGCAACCCCUUCUGAUGGGUUCUAUGUAGACGUUGACAUCAACGAGUAGGCUAAAGACCCAGGUGGUGACCCUGAGCUUGUGAAGGACCACGUAGUAUAGCUAGGCUUUCCAAGCCUCUUUUAUUUUACUAGUUGUCUGUACUCAGACAAGUUACUUCCGCUGCUGGUUUGUAUAACUGUAUGACUUGUAUGUGGGGUCGUGAGACCCGUACCUUUGUGUAUGUUAUGUAUGGCUCACUGAGCCUUAAAUAAAGUAUUUGUGUCAUAGAGUCAUGUUGUGAUGCUUCGUUGUAUUUGCACAUAUCGAGCAUAUUGUGUGUAUGAUUGAAAUGCUUGGUAUGUGUGGGAUCUGACUAUCUAGUUGUUUAUCUUUAGUAGCCUCUCUUACCGGGAAAUGUCUCCUAGUGUUACCGCUGAGCCAUGGUAGCUUGCUACUGCUCUGGAACACUUAGGCUGGCCGGCAUGUGUCCUUCUUCGUUCCUGUGUCUGUCCCUUCGGGGAAAUGUCACGCUUUGAGUACCGGAGUCCUGUUAGCCCGCUACAGCCCGGUUUACCGGAGUCCUGCUAGCCCAGUGCUACAGCCCGGACCCACUUGCUGAUGACCGACACGUUCGAAGCUGGGUCAUGGAUGCCUGUCCCUGUAAGUCUGUGCCACUUUGGGUUUACGACUAGUCAUGUCAGCCCGGGCUCUUUAUCAUAUGGAUGCUAGCGACACUAUCAUAUACAUGAGCCAAAAGGCGCAAACGGUCCCGGGAAAAGGUAAGACGACACCCGUGGGAAUACCGUGCGUGAGGCCGCAAGGUGAUAUGAGGUGUUACCAGCUAGAUCGAUGUGACAUCGAGUCGGGGUCCUGACAGCGUUGGCAUUAGAGCCGGACUGCCUGUAGGUUCUCCAAGCCAAACUGGUCGAUGUUGAGUCUAGAAAUUCUUUAGUUAUAUGUAGGGGAAUUGUUUGUGGGUUGGAACGUAAGGCUCUUUUUACUCCUUAUACCUUAUGACUUUCUGAUCUGAGUCAGUCCAUUCUUCCACCGGGGGUUAAGGAAUUAGGAUCUAUUCUCUCUAUCAGGAUCACGUGUUACUAAUCAGUAGUACCUUAUAGGUAUGAAGGAUACAAGCCUAGUUCAGUUCUUUUACCACAUUAUGUUGCCAGAAUGGUUUCAGAACUUUGAAAUGAUGAUGUUGAGUAUGUACGAAAUCCUUUGUCAAAUGUCUCAAUAUCCUUUUUGAGCAUUUACAGCUGUUAUGCUGCCGAAAUUUUGCUAGAAGUUCUAAUGCCUUUGCAUUAUGAAUGUGCUUUCAGAUGGCCACUCGCGACCUCAAUCAAGUGGUUCGCCUGACUCGAUGCCUAGAUGUACCCGGCCAUACUGCUAAGUUGGUCAGGGUAAUGACUGAGGCUGGAUACCGCUGGUAUCCUGAGUACACGGUCGAAGAGCAAUUCCGGGACUUCAAUCAAAGCCAGUAUCUCUGCACUGUCAGGAUAUUUCCAUCUUAUCCUGGAUCCACCGAGCCUCUUCACUGUUCCUAUGGACUCGGGGUUACUAUUGAGAUGGCUGUGCAGGACGCCGCCUACUCUAUGAUGACCAUUAUGCGAGUCAGAUCUGGUUUAUUUCGGGACUCUGAUUUCCGGUAUAUGCCAGGAUCACUUCCGGGAGCACAAGGGUAUCUCCAGGCUAUCUAUGCUGACUCCACUCAGGAGGAUUCACGAACUCGCACCACUGCUGAGAUGCUCGAGGAUAAGGACCGUGAAAAUCGGGCCUUAAGGUUAGAGCUCUUCAAUACCCGUGCUGACCACUGGGCUACUUUGACUCGGUUCGCACCGGCGGUGCAAGCUGGAUAUUCAGAUAUGCGCGAUCUCUACCCUGUGAGAUCUGCUCUGCCGGACGUGAUGGUUUGGCGUGAUGUAGGAGGCAUCACCCCACCUCGCGGUCCCCGCAGGCCACCGUUUGUUGGUCCAAGGCCUCAUCCUAGCCCCUAUGGUCCACAAGCUCCGCGAGACCGUCUGUUUCCGGAUGAUCAUGUUGAGCUUCCAGGCUAUGGAGGUGACUUCUACGAGGACUACUACGGAUCGGUCUGAGUUAGCGGUAGUAUCACUAGUUCACACUAGCUGUGUCGUCUAUCGUCCUGCGUGACUCGUGGGAUAUGACCUAGUUUGUACUCUUUCCGGAGGUGUAGAAAAAUAAUGUAUAGGAGCUUGGAAUGCCUCCGAUGAGAUGUAAUCCUCUUUUCACCGUAAUAGUACUUUGUUUGGUCUUGUACUAAACCCUGUAUGGUGUGUAUGACGAUGGAAUAAAGAAGCAGUUUCUGUAUCUACCAUGUCAUACGGAUGAUCAUCUUGCAUUCCGAUUUAUUCCUUACAUUAUGUAUCCUAUGUCGGAAUUUUAUCAUCCUGACUAAAACAUUGUCUUGAUUACCUAGGAUGGUCAACACGCGCGCUAACCCUGCUUCCCAAGAGCAGGCCGAAGGCAGUGAAGCCAGGGAUGCAAAUCUGCCUCAUCCCCCUUCACUAGCUGAGGUUAUGAUGGAAGCUGAGAGAAACAAGCGGGAGACCAACCGUUUGUUGGAGCGUAUUGAACAGAAUACAGCACACCAUCAGAGAGCUAACGUGGUGUCACUCAGUGAUUUUAUCAAAUUGCAUCCACCCACGUUCCACCACUCCGUCGAGCCUCUCGACGCUGAUGACUGGCUUCGCAGUAUCUCUCACAAACUGCGUUCCGCGCUGGUAGCGGAGGCUGACAAGGUCACCUUUGCUGCAUAUCAUCUUGAAGGCCCCGCCAGUCUAUGGUGGGAGAAUUAUGGAGCUAUGCGCCCAGCGGGCCAUGUCACUACUUGGGCUGAGUUCAGCGAGGCUUUCCGUGAACAUCACAUUCCGGAGGGUCUCAUGGACCGUAAACGUGAAGAAUUUUGCAGUUUCACCCAAGGCCGACUUUCUGUGGAUGCCUAUAGCAGGGAGUUUGGUAACCUCGCACGAUAUGCAACCGAGGAAGUUUCUACUGACGCCAAGAAGCAAGCAAGGUUCCGUAAGGGCCUUAGUCCUGAGCUUCGCCGCGACCUCCGUCUGCAUGAGUGCACAUCUUUUCAGAAACUUGUCAACAAAGCCAUCAGUGCUGAAACUGGCCAGACUGACUAUGACGCAACACGCAAGCAUGGCCGUGACAUGGGUUCCUCAUCCGGUGCUGGUCCUCAGAAGCGCCGCGUGUGGGUGCCCAACACCGCCCUGCCACCCAGGUUCACACCGAGGCCAUCUUUCCAGGCGCCUCGCCCCGUUCAACAGUCUGCUCCAGCCAAGCCCUAUGGGGGUCCAACCAAUAAUGCUCCUCCACGUACCAGUUCCGUGACUUGUUUCAAAUGUGGGGAAUCUGGUCACUAUAUGCGUGAGUGUCCCCAGACCAACCCCAACCAAUCUGCUAAAGCUGUUGGCCGUGGCAAGCCGACAGGAAAAAUAUUCCACGCCAAGCCGGUCGCCGCUUCACGUGGCCAUGUCAACUGUAUCUCUGCCGAAGAAGCUCAAGAGGAUCCCAACGUCGUUCUCGGUACGCUUCUUGUUAAUUGCCACCCGGCAUCUGUUCUUUUCGAUACAGGAGCCUCUCAUUCUUUUAUAUCUGAAAACUAUGCUCGCUUGCAUAACGUCGCAUUCGGUGAUAUGCCAACCUCUAUGGUAAUUCAAACUCCGGGAUCCAAAUGGCAAACUUCUAGAGUAAGCCAUGGAAAUGAAAUCCAAGUCGACAGACUUGUUUUUCUCGUAUCUUUGAUAGCCCUUAAAUCUUCAGAUAUUAAUAUCACUUUGGGUAUGGACUGGAUGUCAGCUCAUCAAGCCAAAAUUGAUUGCUUCUCUAGGACUGUUCAACUCACCCAUCCUUCGGGGAAGAUAGUCAAUGUCUUGACCCGAAUAGCCAAGCGACAAUUAUAUUCUCUUAACGCCAGCCCUUUGCCAGACCUUGAGGACGUGCCGGUAGUCUGUGACUUCCCGGAUGUCUUCCCAGAGGAAUUGCCAGGUGUUCCACCUGACAGGGAUGUUGAGUUCGUAAUAGAUCUCAUUCCAGGAACCGUUCCGAUUGCUAGGAGACCCUAUAAGAUGGCACCCCUAGAACUAGCCGAGCUUAAGAAACAACUCGAUGAGUCCUUGAAAAAGGGUUUCAUCCGCCCUAGUUCAUCUCCGUGGGCUUGCCCCGUCCUAUUCGUCAAGAAGAAGGAUGGUACGGACCGGAUGGUUGUAGAUUACCGACCUGUCAAUUUGGUCACAAUCAAGAACAAAUAUCCACUUCCCAGGAUCAACGAUCUGUAUGAUCAGCUCGCUGGAUCCUCAGUCUUCUCCAAGAUGGAUUUGAGGUUGGGCUACCAUCAAAUCAAAAUCAGAAACGGGGACAUUCCUAAAACGGCCUUUGUUACUCGUUAUGGCCAAUACGAGUACACCGUCAUGUCCUUCGGAUUAACCAACGCUCCAGCCACCUUUUCUCGGUUAAUGAACUCAAUCUUCAUGGAGUAUUUGGAUAAAUUCGUCGUGGUCUACCUCGAUGAUAUACUCAUCUACUCCAAGAACGAGGAAGAACAUGCCGAACAUCUAAGGCUAGUGUUGAAGAAACUUCGAGAGCAUCGCCUUUAUGCCAAAUUUUCGAAAUGUGAAUUCUGGUUGUCAGAAGUGACCUAUCUGGGUCAUGUAAUAUCUGGUAAAGGUAUUGCUGUUAACCCUGAGCGAGUUCAAGCCGUCCUUAAUUGGACUCCACCUGAAUCGGUCAAGCAAGUUCGGAGUUUUCUAGGCUUAGCGAGCUAUUGCCGUCGCUUUGUCGAGAACUUCUCCAAAGUUGCUAAACCUCUAACCGAACUCCUCAAGAAAGAUAAGAAGUUCGAAUGGACUCCACAAUGUGAGCACAACUUUCAGGAACUGAAAAGACGCCUGACCUCUGCUCCCGUGCUGGUACCGCCAGACUUCUCCAAGGACUUCGUUAUCUACUGCGACGCCUCGCGACAAGGACUAGGUUGCAUUCUCAUGCAAGAUCGACACGUAAUUGCUUACGCUUCACGGCAAUUGCACCCACAUGAGGAGAAUUAUCCUACCCAUGAUCUAGAGCUUGCAGCCGUAGUCUAUGCACUUAAGACCUGGCGACAUUACCUCCUCGGUAAUCGUUGCGAAAUAUUCACUGAUCACCAAAGUCUGAAGUAUAUUUUCACCCAACCGGAUUUGAAUCUCAGGCAGAGACGUUGGGUUGAAUUGAUCACAGACUUCGACUUAGGAAUAACCUACACCCCAGGGAAAGCCAACGUCAUGGCUGAUGCGCUAAGUCGUAAAUCUUAUUGUAACAACCUGAUGUUACAACAAAGUCAACCGCUUCUCCAUGAGGAAUUUCGGAAACUUAACCUUCACAUUGUACCUCAAGGUUUUCUUUCCACCUUGGUAGCAAAACCUACUCUUACGGAUCAAAUCAUCGCUGCCCAAAAGCGAGAUAAGGGAAUAUCUAAAAUCAAAGAGAACAUUGCUAGCGGAGGUGCUAGUUGUUUCUCCACCAAUGAUCAUGGUGUGGUGUACUUUGAGAACCGUCUAGUGGUUCCCAAGAACCAGCAUCUACGGCAGUUGAUCCUUAAGGAGGCUCAUGAAUCUCCUCUCACCAUUCAUCCCGGUAGCACUAAAAUGUAUCAGGACCUACGCCAGAGGUUCUGGUGGACUAGGAUGAAGAGAGAAAUUGCUCAAUAUAUUGCAAAUUGCGACGUCUGUCGUCGUGUAAAAGCAGAGCAUCAACGGCCUGCUGGCACCCUUCAACCCUUAGCUAUUCCUGAAUGGAAAUGGGAUAAAAUUGGUAUGGAUUUCAUUACCGGUUUUCCCAGGACCAAGAGAGGGAAUAAUGCUAUUUUCGUCGUGGUCGAUCGUCUUUCCAAAGUAGCCCACUUCUUACCUGUUCGUGAGAGUAUAACCGCUAGUCAGCUGGCAGAUUUGUACAUCUCCCGAAUAGUGUCUCUCCAUGGUGUUCCUUUGGAAAUUAACUCGGAUCGAGGAAGUCUUUUCACCUCUCGAUUUUAGGAAAGUUUCCAAAAUGCUAUGGGAACCCGUCUCUCCUUUAGCACCGCUUUCCACCCUCAGUCGAGUGGUCAAGUGGAACGCGUCAACCAAAUUCUAGAAGACAUGCUUCGAGCCUCCGUUAUCUCUUUCGGAAUGGACUGGGAGAAGUGCCUUCCAUUUGCCGAAUUCGCUUACAACAACAGCUAUCAAUCUAGCUUGGGUAAAGCCCCUUUUGAAGUUCUCUAUGGACGACGAUGUCGAACACCCCUUAACUGGUCAGAGACCGGGGAAAGACAAUUCUUUGGCCCGGAUAUGAUUCAGGAAGCAGAAGAACAAGUUCGUAUCGUUCGUGAAAAGUUGAAAACAGCCCAAUCUCGUCAAAAGAGUCAAUAUGACCGAAAACAUAAGGCUAUGACUUUCGAGGUUGACGAGAAGGCUUAUCUUCGGGUCACCCCUCUGAAGGGAACCCAUCGUUUCGGUAUCAAAGGCAAAUUAGCUCCUCGUUACAUUGGACCUUUUCGCAUUCUUGCCAAACGAGGAGAAGUUGCCUACCAAUUGGAACUACCUCCGCACCUCUCCAGGGUCCACGAUGUCUUCCACGUUACUCAACUCAGGCGUUGCUUCUCGGAUCCUAUCCGUGGAGUGGACCACGAAACGCUUGAUCUCCAAGAUGAUCUUACAUAUCGAGAGUACCCCAUCCGUAUCCUCGAUCAGGCCGAGCGUACCACUCGACGUCAGAACAUCAAGUUCCUCAAAGUUCAGUGGUCUCAUCAUUCUGAGGAUGAAGCAACUUGGGAAAGGGAGGAUCGUCUUCGACUUGAGUAUCCCGCCUUCUUCCCGGAGGAACCCAAAUCUCGGGACGAGAUUCUUUUGAGUGGGGGUGAGUUGUCACACCCUAGCUAGUUAUGCAUUAGAGUGUUGCAUCAUGUUUACUUUUUCAUCAGAAACUUGAAAUGGGGAUGACAGAACCCCCAGUCCCCUCUGAAACCAACUAGGGUUACUAAAAUAAUUUUUCAAUGAACCUGAAAUGCCCUUCUAAAAUGCCCAUCAUUUUUGUCUUGGUUCAGAACCUCUGCCAAAAGUGGUGCACAUUUUCCUAGGCCAUCCUAGGGUUUUUGAAUUAAAUCAUAAAUAUUUGAAUUUGGGCAUUUAAAAUAAUAUAAAAUAUUCAAAUGCUCAAAUAUCUCCAAACUAAAAUGUUUCAUGUUGGAAAUAAUCCAACUAUGGGCCAGGAAUAGUUUGGUGAUUUUUGAAGUUGCCUAGGUAUUUUAUUUAAUUCAACAAAGUUGCAGAUAUAUUAAAUAAAAACAGAAACAGAAGAAAAUGAAAAGGCUUACCUGUCGCCCACCAGCCAGCCCACCUGGCCGGCCCAGCCCGGCCACCGCUCCAGCGAGCUGCUUGGCUUGCCAGGCAGGCAGCCAAGGUGCUCGGCGGCGGCACCGCAGCUCGCCAUGCAGCUGCUCGCCGCCUCGCCGCCUACCUCGCCCGGCUAACGCCGUGAACCGGCCUCCCUCUCUCCCCCGAACCCCCCAGACACCCCCUCUCCUCUCCAGCUCCUCCCCCUCGCACGCCCCAGCCAUGGCCGACGCCACCGUCGCCGCACCACCGUCGUAGCCGUGCUCCCCGUCGUCUCCACGCCGCGCCACCCUGUCCAGAAGCUCCGCCGUCCUCUACUCCUUCGAGCUAGCCGAGCCCCGAGCGCUCGCGUGCCUCGAAGCCGCCGCACCGACCUCGCCCGAGCUCGCCGUCGCCGGAGAUCCCUUUCAACGCCGUCGCUGCCUCAGCUCGUCCCCGACCCCGCCGGUGGCCUCUACGGGAGCGUUGUGAGCCUAGCUACUCCUCCGACCCUCUCCCUCUCAUUCCCGAGCUGUGUAGCCACCGCACGAGGAUCACACGCCCGCACCGUCGCGGACCUCGUCGCCGACGUGCUUCCGGCCACACUCCGGCCACAAGAUGGUGUCCAUCUUGCUCACCGAGUCCCACAGCACCUAGCUAGCCACUCCACGAGCCUCACCGACCCCUCUAGCGCCAAGUUCAUCCUCGACCGAACCCCGGUGGCCGCCAAAGUCGUCGCCGGCGCCAACUCCGGCCACCCCGACCCCAACGGACUCCGCCAAGAGCUGCGGUUUGUCCUCAGCUCCACUCCGGUGGUCUCCGCGGUCCAUUUGGUGGCCGAAAUGGCCAAAACCACUCCCGCCGCCACGUCGGGCUCGCCGGCGGCUAAACGCCGGCAGCCGACUUUGACUUUGACCACGGGUGGGCCCUGGUUGACUCCCCUGAGUCAAUGACAGGUGGGGCCCAGCCCUGCUAAUUACACAGGAUUAGUUUUAAUUAAAUCUCAAUUAAAAUAAUCACCCUGACAUGCGGGACCCACUGUCAGGUUUGACCCAGACCUGUUCCGUUGACCUGCUGACGUCACACUGACGUCAGGCUGACGCAGUAAUUGAUUUUCUGGAUUUAAAUUAAAUCAGGAAAUUCCAGAAUAUUAUUUAAACUUCAAAAAUUCAUAACUUUUAUUCUGUAACUCCAAAUUGGACAAAUUAUAUAUGAAAAAUGAUCAGAAAAAUCCAAUCUACCCAUCUGUACUAUUUUCAUGCAUGAUCAAACAAGUUAAAUUGAUGUUUUAAGCAGAACAAGGAAAAGCACUUAAAGAGGCCAUGUUUGAGUUUGAAAUUUGAAUCUUUGAUUCAAAUUUGUUCAAACCCUUCUGGUUUUAGUUGCAUUAGCCCAACACACUCAUAUUGCCAUGUUUCAUGCAUGCAUCAUAUUGUUGCACAUUGUUUGGUGAUGGUUGUUUAUCGGUGUCCUUUGCGACAGGUUCUGCCCCCGAGGAGUACCGUGAUUACCCUAACGAAGAACCUUAUCAGUGCAUCGAACCAUCAGGCAAGCAACCAACCAUUUGAUCAUAUCGAUACAAUCCCAUGUUCUCGCUCCUGCUCUCUUUUACUGCAUUAAGACAACGCGAUUCAAACUGCUGUGUGCUACGGUAGUUGAACCCAUUUCCUCUGCAUGACCUGUCAUUGCCACAGUAACUAGAUGAAACCCACUAGCAUGUGUAGGAGUUGAUUGAGCCCUAUGUAUGUGUUGUUCCUACCUUGCUAUGCCUGCUAUGCUUAGAGUCGUGUCAGGUCUGGUUCAUCUGGGUGAUGGGCUAGAGUGAAAUGAUUAUGUCGGUAAUAAGAGUGGUGUGGUGAACACGAUUUGGUAAAGGUAUCGAUGAGAGGCCAUGUAGGAGUACAUGGUGGGUUGUUUCAUUGAAGCCGACCUUAAGCACUGAGAUCUGUAUAUGUGAUUUAAGAUACAACUACUACCAUGCAUUGGGCCCUGAAAUAUGACCCCGCUCGACUUCUUAUUCACCCUAGCUCUCUGUCCAGGAGUUGCAAGUAGUUUCUGGUGUUUGUAGCCUACUGGAGGCCGUGGACAGCGCUGACCGUAGGGGUGGGCUGUGAUGCGGUAGGUACGUGGCACGGUGUACCGAAUACCCGUUAGGUAUCUCGGGAACCCUGUUCACAUCGUUCGGGGCCGUAUGGGAAACCUCGGUCGGACUCCCUGCGGAUGGAACCUGAAUAGGCGAUAAACCUGGACUAGAGGCUUAAGUGUUUAGGUAGGUCGUGGUCUACACCCACGUCGGCUUUCGCUUGAAGUCUGCCGAGCACAUGUCGUGUGCAGACGCUAAGUGGUGGAAACAUGUAUGAAGAAGUACACCCCUGCAGGGUUAACAUGAUCUAUUCGAAUAGCCGCGUCCGCGGUAAAGGACUACUUGGUUACCUAUACAGUUCAUAGACAAGUAGAUGGAAACUACUAAAAGCCUCAAGAUAAGUGUGAGUGCCAAGGAUGGCUCUUCCGUAGGAAGACGGAGGUGGAUCCUCGGUAGUGUAUUGAAGUGGUGAGUAGUGGACUCGUGUGCGCAAAACCAUUUCAGUUGGAGUAUCGUAGGAUAGUCUAGCCAAGAGUCAAAGCUGGCUUGCUGCAAUAACUCCACCAACCCUUCUUGAUACCAUGCAUGUAUGUAGGAUCUGAUGUAAGUCUUGCUGAGUACCUUUGUACUCAUGUUGCUAUAAUCUACAUUUUUACAGAAGACGCUGCAACCCCUUCUGAUGGGUUCUAUGUAGACAUUGACAUCAACGAGUAGGCUAAAGACCCAGGUGGUGACCCUGAGCUUGUGAAGGACCACGUAGUAUAGCUAGGCUUUCCAAGCCUCUUUUAUUUUACUAGUUGUCUGUACUCAGACAAGUUACUUCCGCUGCUGGUUUGUAUAACUGUAUGACUUGUAUGUGGGGUCGUGAGACCCGUACCUUUGUGUAUGUUAUGUAUGGCUCACUGAGCCUUAAAUAAAGUAUUUGUGUCAUAGAGUCAUGUUGUGAUGCUUCGUUGUAUUUGCACAUAUCGAGCAUAUUGUGUGUAUGAUUGAAAUGCUUGGUAUGUGUGGGAUCUGACUAUCUAGUUGUUUAUCUUUAGUAGCCUCUCUUACCGGGAAAUGUCUCCUAGUGUUACCGCUGAGCCAUGGUAGCUUGCUACUGCUCUGGAACACUUAGGCUGGCCGGCAUGUGUCCUUCUUCGUUCCUGUGUCUGUCCCUUCGGGGAAAUGUCACGCUUUGAGUACCGGAGUCCUGUUAGCCCGCUACAGCCCGGUUUACCGGAGUCCUGCUAGCCCAGUGCUACAGCCCGGACCCACUUGCUGAUGACCGACACGUUCGAAGCUGGGUCAUGGAUGCCUGUCCCUGUAAGUCUGUGCCACUUUGGGUUUACGACUAGUCAUGUCAGCCCGGGCUCUUUAUCAUAUGGAUGCUAGCGACACUAUCAUAUACGUGAGCCAAAAGGCGCAAAUGGUCCCGGGAAAAGGUAAGACGUCACCCGUGGGGAUACCGUGCGUGAGGCCGCAAAGUGAUAUGAGGUGUUACCAGCUAGAUCGAUGUGACAUCGAGUCGGGGUCCUGACAUGUUCCUAUGUUGAAACUUCUGAAUUUGAGCAGUUGUUCUUGUUCUGAGUUCCUUCAGGGAGAUGAAUCUGAAUUGGUGUUGACUCUUUGUCUCAAUUCAGUUUAACCGCAUGGACAUGUACACAUGCGAUCAGAAUUUUCUGUAGAUCAUUGGUGAUUGAUUCCCAUGCCGAAAUUGAUUGGCAGUGGACGACUAGUCAUUCUUUUGCCAUGACAUAUUAUUCAGAUAUUUGCAUAUGUUCAACCACAAUUAUCCUGUUUUCUCGUUCAACCACAAUUAUCCUGUUUUCUCGUUGGAUCCAAUGAGAGAGAACAAGAUUAGAUUAACAUUUAUGUCCUUCCUUUCAUGUGUUGCUUGUGCCUAUCUUGACCUUGUCACUUUAUUAUGUUUAUAACUUUCCAUAAUUUAUUAUUUGCAGAUGUUGGCCUUCAUUCUUCAAAAGUUGGGUGCACAGGAGCUCUAGGAAGAAGAAUCCAAAGAAAAACCACACCCAGCAAUGCGUUUUAGCUCACUGGAGCUAGUUAUGCGUAUAUUUAGUUGUAUUUUAUAGAUGAAUACCAGAUCCGUACUAUGUAUGAUUGUAAUGUACUUUGCUUGGCUGUUGUAUAAAAUAUUAUGCCUUAUUGGCUCUUUUUUAAUCAAAUUAUAUAAUUGCACAAACAUAGAACUGACGUGUCGUACCCAAACAGGAAUUCUGGUAAUUGGUUCCCAUUUGACUAUUCGGACCUACUUUGAAAUGGAAAAAAACAAAAAAAAACUAACAAGUGGGCAAGAAAAAGGCCGAGGCCUAAAAAAUAUGGAUUGUAAAAGAUUGUGGCCCUGAAAAUAGAAGUCUGUUGGGCUUGGCCUAUGUAGUUGACCCAAAUUGAAAGAAAGAAAAACAACAAAUAGGAUGAAUUAAUGGGCUCAGCCCAUGUAAAACACCGAAUUGGACCAGGCUGAUUCUUAUCCACGUCAGCUUGCCACGCAGGAUCCUACGUGGCCUGGGGAGGUUGCUGGUGACCAAAAAUUUGGUCGUGGAACCAACGACCUUUUACAUAUCACAAAGAAGGUCGUUAAUUUCAGUUUACGACGGCCAGCUUUUGACCAUCCAUUUUUGGUCGCAAAAAGGUCACAAAUGAAAAACAACAACCAUUCAGCAACCAAUAGUGAUGGUCGCAAGUUGACAUAUUUCUUGUAGUGCCGGCACCGCGUGAGCCCACUCCUCAUCCUCCAAAUCCGACACCGCGUCAGCCCAGUCCUCCUCCUCCAAGUCAGGCACUGCGUAGGCCGUCUCCACCACCGCCUAAGCAACAGCGGAAGAGAGCCUUCGCAGCUAUGGCGGCUAGCGGUACAAGUACAAGAGGCAAGAGAUACCAAUUUGGUCCAAGCCUUGCGCCUCUUCCGAAGAGGCCUUACGACAUGACCGAAGAGGAAAACAAAGCCGAAUGCAGGGCCCAAUUGGAUGCCCAUUAUGGACCGAAACCGUCACCGCCGCCAAAGGAGAAACUGCAUGAGCAUGCCAUUGACCACUUUAUUCGUAUGGCUCAAGCACCAGCUCCAAAGCCUAUUGACUCAGACUAUGAGUGCCAAAUUAGGAAGGCAUAUCAAGCACAAAAAAAGAAGGAGUCGAGCUCGAGCUCCAGCCAAGCAGCUGCCAAAAAAAGCGGGAAAAUUGUUCUCCGGCUGGGAGAACAGGUGGUGCAAUCGAUCCCCCCACUCAUUGUAUCAACACACAUGAGUACCGGCGCGGCCGAUUAUCUGGUCAUAACCAAUGAUCAUAGAAGGCAGGCUACAGAGAUCGGAUGCAUUGUAGAACAACACCUAGAGCUCGAGCCCAUGGAAACUUUUACAGAGCAGGGAUUAAGACGGAAAUAUGCCCGCGGCGAACCUUUGGUCAAGCCUGAGGAGGUCAAGAAGCUCUCAACAAGAAUGUAUGAAUUGCAUGAAUGGUACAUGAAAAUUGCCAAGACUACCAAUCAAGAGUCCCUCAUGGUGAAAGUCAAGGCAGAGCAUUACUUCCAUGAGAAUGCUCUAUAUGUUGAGUUUACAGAACUGUUUCAGUUAUUCAAUCAAGACGCAUUCGACAAAUCUAUCGUCAGUUGCUAUUGCCUGUAAGUGAUUUCUUUCUGUAAUGUAAGUCUCAAGCUAGUUGUAGUGCUUAUUGAUCAUUACCUGUAGUUAUCCUCACUAUAUUCUUUUCUGUGGUAUUAUGUAGAAUGAGAUCUAUGAAUGAAAAAAGUUGGACGCUAUGGCAUUGGGUUCAUUGACCAAAAUACCGUUAAUCAAGAGACAUGGUCAAAGGAAUUAUAUCGAAAAGAAACAGAGAAAACCUUGCUAGAGUUCUUGAAGCGCCUAAAUACUAAUCGAGAUAUACUACUUCCUUACAACUUCGGGUGAGUCAUGCUGUCUUGUACUAUAAAUUAUAUUUUUGCUUACUAGCUAGAUGUUAAUUAAUAAGUGUAUAGGGUUUAGGGUAGUUUUUGAUUGUUAUGCACAUGCCCGCUUAAUUUAUACAUGCAAACGUGUGCGCAUGCAAUUUCCAUUGGAUCUUGUUAAUCAUUCAAGUUGAAGAUGGAACAGUUGAAGUACUGGAAUCGCUAAUUAAACCAGUUACUCAGUACGAAAUCGUGAAGGGGAUAAUCAACAGGUAAUUGCAAUCAUUAUCGAACUAUAUGUCAGCCUCUUUAGUUCGUCAUUUCCUAAUAUCAACUAAUUAAUAACUCAUUUAUUCAUUUUCUUUGCUGGCGGGUAGGGUUUGAGAAAAGUUCAUCAAAACGGUUCCAGGACAAUGGAAACAAAAGCUGUAUUGGUAUCGACCCAAGGUAUAAUUAAUUAAGUAGUACUAGCUAGCUACCAUCUCUUUAAUUCUAGUUUCAAUACCAUUAGUUAUCAUGCUUGAUUAAUUAUUAUCUGAUUGAAUUCUAUUCUCAUACAUGCCAUGAAGAAAUUGCCGGGGAAUGAAUUAUGUGCAUACUAUAUUUACGAGAACAUUCACAUGAUGGCAUCCGAAAGGAGCAGAUCUGACAGAUAGCUAUGGGUACGUUUGUCAAAACACUAUUCAUAAUUUUUAUAUCAUUAUCAAUAUCUAAUAUAUAUACACACAACUAAUACAUGCAUACUGAUCUCCUUCUUUAAAGUUCAAGGAGGUGCGGCAUCAGCUCCUACCAAUGAAUCGCGUACGAGCAAUUCAAGAAGAAAUAGCGGGAUUUUUGCUCGACCAGGUCAUAGAUCCCAAAGGAGAAUUCCAUUACCCGCUACCACAGUAAUGCCUCCAUGUAGAAGAAAUUGUAUAUACCAAAUUGUAUAUAUAUAUACAUGUGUAUGUGUGAAUGGUUCUAUGAGAAAUUUUAUUUAUAUAUAUGCAUAACGUGUAUAAUAUGUAGUAUCGUAAAAUACCAACAAAUGAAAAAGAAUUAAAUGAAAAACACAAAAUUAAAGAAAAAAUAUCAUAAACCAAAAACCCCCUAAACCUUUUAGUACCGGUUGGUGUUACCAACCGGUACUAAAGGUCUCCCAGCCCCCGGCGCGGGCUCAUACCACGUGGUGGCCCUUUAGUGGCGGUUCGUGUUGAACCGGCACUCCUUUAGUACCGGUUACAGAACCGGUACCAAAGGGCCUUACGACCCGGUGCUAUAGCCCGGUUCUGCACUGCUAUUUGAAAAUGAAUAGAUUGAAAGUUUCUCGGAAAAAAACAAAGUAACUUUGUUUUCUUGAAAAAGGGUAUGCAAUCAGUAGGCCUGAGAGGUGUUGGGAAUUUAGCAUGGAGUCCUAAUACAGUUGGUAUUACCACUGUAUGAUACUCCCUCCGUUCCUUUUUAUAAGGUGUAUUUGUUUUUUGAUAAAAUUCCAUAAUAUAAGGUGCAUUUGUUCUAAUUCCUCGUAAUUCCGAUCUUGGCCCUCCAGAAAAAGGAAAGUAUCUCUCCCCUGAUUGCAUGUAUCUCUCCUUGUAGAGAAACAAAAGAAAACAAUCUUUGUCCCGAUUGCGUGUAUCUCUCCCUUUCCUAGUCUAAAUGAUUUAUUGCCACUAAUCUAUGAAUUAGAUAAGGGUAAUUUUGUCCUAAAUAGUACACAAUUAUGUGCCUUGGUUAACGUGCUGAAAAUAAUACACCUUAGAUUGGAAUGGAGGGAGUACGCCGCAAGCCGGCGUCUCCUUCGGAUCUACCAUGCGUUGUUGCCAAAUGUGUCGACGUGCACUAACCCAUGGUCAUUCUCAAACGGUGGCCUCUUGUCCAAGCUGCCUCGUACAACCUGGCCCUCUACUGUAGCAUGAGAGACGACAGAAGGUUACAAACACAUUCGUCGGUGUUGCCGUAGGUUGUACACCGACACAGAGAGAGAGAGAGUACAUGCACGCUAAAACAAACUGUUGUGUGCGUGCAUUGAUCCCAGAAAGAGAGAGAAUCCAUGCCCGUAAAAAAAGAGAGAGAAUCCAGACACGCUAGCUCAAUUCUUAUUUGAAACGAAGCAAAGAACUUCCAUUUUUAUUAAUUGAUAAGAGAGUGAGAAUUUAGCGGUUAAUUUGAGGAAACCAGUCACGUAUUAUCUGUUACCAGAAAAAUAUAUGAAAUGCAACGAUUAUUUAUUUAUUUUUUGAGGGAAAAUGCGCCGAUUAUCUGACUGUGUAACUAUUACAUCAUUCACCUUGGGAAAGUUGGCUACCCGCAACAUAUGACUUUGUUGAAUGCCAACAAUUAGUGAAGUUUAGAGAGUCAAGAAACAUGAUUGUGUUCAUGAUAAAUACUUGGUUCUCGUGCGGCACUGUGUAAUUUUUUCAGGAGAUCCAGAGAGCUGGUGAUGUACUGAUUUUGAUACUUUAACGCUUAACAUUGAAUCUUUGUAAAAAUAAUAUCUCAACAGUAAUAUGUACCAAGUUUAUCUCAAAUAUUGUCCAUCAAAAAGUGGGUGAAGUAGUACAUGUAAGGUUUUUAAUAGUACAAAGUCACUAGCAACUAUUAAUUACUGAGACAAAAGGCUUUAUGUUUGCACCAUUUUAAAAUGAAUCCUUUUUUUUCGCGAAAAAUGAUUUCUUUCACUAGCUCUUUUGCAAUUCAAAUAUCACGUGGUCACUAUUAUUGUACAAUUCGCAUAGCAUGGUUGUUCGGUGCAGCGUCUCACUGUAACUUAUUUUCUUCGGGGUAGAACUAUAUAUAGCAUGGCAAUAUGGUUGGUCACUAGUUUAUUAAGUUAUUCAUUGAUUAUGUCACCAAAAAAAGUAUUAGGUCAUUCAUUCAUUACGUCACCGCUUGAGGAUGAAUAUUUUGGUGGGGCGCACAUAUCAUGCCUUUAUAAGAAGCAUAGCUGUUCAUGGAUACGUCAAAGAAAUUGGACAACUGUUGGUUCCCAAACAAAGUAACCUCAGUUUUCAAGAAUAAAAAUAUAUCUUGUUUUGAUGAAAAACGGUUUGCAAACUGUAGGCCUGGGAGGUGUCGGUAAUGUAGCAGUGAUUGCCAAUCAGGUUGGAGGUGCCAAUCAGUAUGGGACGUGUUUUGUUGUCAGCAUACACCUCGAUCACGCCUGCGCGUGAAGGAUCCAGCCUGUUUGGUAGCCCGUAUACAUUAUUGGGCCGGCAUCGCAUGCUUCUUAAAGCACCUCUGGGCCUGGCUCGCUGGAAACGCUCAGAUCGGCAGUUUCACUAGAGCCAGACCGAGCGGAAGCGCGGCGAGCGGGCCCCUGUACGAGGAGAAACGGGAGGGAUGCGAGGUGUUUAGGUCGUGUCUUCUUCAACCUCCAUUAAGCUCCUUUCUAAUCUCCUCUCUUCCAUGCCUCUCUAAUCUACACAAUGAUGCUUCGAUUCGUGGUAAGCUCUACAAGAAAAAGAUGUACAUCGAUGCUACGGUUUCAUUCAGGUAAUCGGUUUGUAGUUUGCUCGAACAUACAUGCUCAAUUUCUUGUUCCUAUUUGGAGCUGUUAUGUACUAAUUUUGUUAGAUCCGUCGCGCACGAUCGAUUGUUUGAAAUUUCCUUUGACCAGUAGCCUAAUCUCGCAGUUCUGCACGACAUUCGUGUUGCAAAUUUCAUGUUUUGACGAUCGUAGACGAGAAGAUCCACAUAUUUCUCAUGGCUGUACAUAUGAAUAUGUGUGCUAUGAUUUAAGACACUGCUUAAUUACUCCUCUAGCCGGCGUGGUUUCUCUUGAUCUCCUCUCUCGCAUCUUGCUGUGGUAGCAUCAUCGUCGCCGUCGUUCAUCUCAGCCUUCUCUCCAUGAUCCUACUGCAGUUAAGCCGCCAUGCCGCGCACACUGACGGGGUUCUUCUCCUCUGUUCUCUACCACUGACGGGGUCAAUCAUGUUGGCCUCCUCCUGGCCUCCUCUUUCUCGUCCUACUACACUGGAGUCAUUUUUGGCGUCGAUCAUCUCAGCUCCUCUCUCUCGUCCUACGACACUGACGAUGCCAUGGUGUGAGCACUACAUUUCACCUCCUCUGUCCAUUAUCUUUGUGCGAGCACUCCAACUAGUUCGCCGACAGGGUCGCUCGCCCAUGACUCCAUGCUCCUCAUGUCGGACACGGCGCCACGGUCAUUGUCCACCGCAGUCGCCAUUGUCCGGCGCACACUGCAUUUCUUCUCCCCUUCCUCUGCUAGCUCUUAACCCUGUGUGCUAAGUGCAAGUGCCAACUCUUAAUCAUACCCCAUGCGGGCAAACAAACAGUGUGUAGCUGUAUGCGCCGAGACAAUGCAGGAUAGUAUUCCAUUCUUUUCUAUCAGGAAUCCAAAGAUCUUUAACAAGAGAAGGGUAACUAUAUCCUGAAGGUUGAAUAAUAAGAUGAUCAUAAAUAGCAUUCCAACGCGAGCACCGGGGGGUGCUCCAUAUAGAAAUAUUACCUUGAGUAAUCUGAUAAAAAGAAUGAGCUUUGAGUUUGGGCAGCAUUUUGAGAAUGGAGGACCAAAAAGCUGAAUUUGGAUUGGAAGGGCUAGCAGUCCAGAUGGAAGCAUCAUGGAAGUAUUUGGACUUAAGAACAAGAUGAAGAUAGGAAGAAGAAUCUUUCGCUAUAUGCCAAGCAGUUGUAAGCAUCAGGCCUUCAUUAAUGGCUUGUAAGUUCCUAAUACCAAGGCCACCCUCAUUUUUGAAAUUAUAAAUAUCCUUCCAAGCCCUAAGACACAAGCUUUUGCUAGAAUUAUGCUCUCUAAUACCUGUCCACCAAAAGUUCCUAAUAAUAGCAGUGAGUUUGGCUACAAACUUCUUAGGAAAUAAAAUAUUAGCCAUAUAGUAAACAGGAAUAGCAGCAAAAACUGAUCUAAUCAAUUCAAGCCUAGCUGCAUGAGAGAGCAAGUUGGCCUUAUAAGCAGGAAGCUUAUUCAUGAAUUUAUCCAAAACAAAAUUGUAAGCCACAGAUCUAUUAUUAGCAGGAAGAAUAAGAGGAUGACCAAGAUGAGAAAAAUUAGCAUCCAUGUUAGAAACAGGAAAAAUCUGCUUAAUAUCUUGAAUAACAGCCUGACUAACAUGAGCACUAAACAUAACAGCAGACUUGGCCCAAUUUGGAGUUUGACCUGCCACAGAACAAAAAUGAUUGAUAAUGCUGGCCAUAGCAUUAGCUUCCUGAACAGUAGCUUGACCACAUACCAACAAAUCAUCUGCAAACAAAAGAGAGUGAAUCGGGGGGCAAUUUGGUCCAAGCAGAAUACCCUGCAGACUAUGAGCAGCUAAAGCUUCGUUAAGAGCAAGAGAUAAUUCAUUAAUGGCAAUAACAAACAAAUAAGGGGACAUAGGACAACCUUGACAAAUACCCCUAGAACUUUUGAAUUUAUGAGAAGGCCUACCAUUAAUGACCACAGAAAAAGUAGGAGAAGAAAUGCACUCAUAAAUCAAAUUUAUGAAAUGGGCAUGCAAUCCUUUACGUGCAAGAGCUGAAACAAUGAAGCUCCAUUCUAAACGAUCGAAAGCCUUAGCAAGAUCAAUUUUAAGCUUGAAAGCAAGGUGAUUCCAAGAACGAAGAGCAAAAGAGUGAGAAAUCUCUUGAGCAAUAAUGAUAUUGUCACUAAUUCUUCUACCUUCAAGGAAAGCUUGUUGAGCAGGGUCAAUAUAAUGUGAAAGAUGAGGCUUAAGACGAUUAGCUAAAGAUUUGGAAAUGAUUUUAUAAAUAACAUUGCAAACACUAAUUGGACGAUAAUCCAUAGGAACCUGAGGAACAAGUUUUUUAGGAAUGAGAGCAAUGUUUGUAUCACUCACGUGAGGGGGCAAUAUACCUGUUCUAUAAAAAUUGAGUACCAAUUGAGUGACAUCGUCUCCUAUCCAAUCCCAAGUAGCCAAAUAAAACUCGACAUUAAAACCAUCUGGCCCUGGAGAAGCAUUUAACUUCAUGUCCUUCAAAAUCUGCAAGACCUCAUUUUUAUCCGGAAUUAAAUAAGUAGGGUCCAAAGAGCCCUCCGGUAAGUGAGAAGCAAGAAAAGGUCUACCAUAGUUGAUAUGAGUGGAAGAGAAGAUAUAUAUGAAAUAAUUAACAAAGGUAUUAGCAAUGAGACUAGGCUUAAAAUGCACAAUAUUAUUUUCAUCCUUAACCGAGCAGAUAGUAUUCCUUUUCCUUCGCUUAAGCACAGCUUGAUGAAAAAAAUUCGUAUUAUGAUCACCAUCAGUAGCCCAUCCUUUCUUACUUCUUUGCUUAUAGAAACUAUUCAGUUUAGAGAGAGUUUGCUCAUACCUGAGAAUAAGCGAAUUAUGUUAUAGCACCUCAAUCUUCACAUGCACAGGUCAAAUUUGAAUAUAAUAAUAUAAUAGAAGUGUGUUGAAUGCUUGGUUUUUAUAGCUCUGGAUAGCACCUUUGAAAAUUUUUUCUUUUUAGAAUUGUAGAUUAACUAAACAAGAAAUUCCCAAGGAAUCCGUAACUUGUUCAAAUAAUAACUAAAUUGUAACAACUAGCAGAUCCAGCAAUUUUGGAAACUGAAACAACAACAUCACAAGAUUAAAUAUAGUGUUGGGCGGAGACAAAUUUUAGAAUUUUAUAUCAUUAACUGUUAGUAGAACAUGUUGUGCUUCCUAUCCUGAAACUUGACCAAUAGCAUGCAUCAGAUUCACCCAGUAUCCCAUAUGCACCGUUUCCCCUAGUUUAGUGUAGGCUUUGAGGCAUAGAGGAAACAAUAAGAAAGAGGCUAAUUCUAUUGAUGGAAUUUUUGGGGACUAGUUGACGGAAAAGCACACUAGCUCUACUGGAAUCGUCUUAUACGCCAAGUGCUACGGACACUCGGCAAAGGGUCAAUAACCGUCGACAAAGUCUUUGCCGAGAGUUGCACUCGGUAAAGGCCACCCGGCGUACACCUUUCAGACAAACAGAACUUCACCGAGAUCCGUUUAUGGGGCACUCGGCAACAGUAUUACCGAGUGUUCUCGUGGUACUCGGCAAAGGUUUGAACUCGGCAAAAAUCAACUAACGGCAGAUGAAAACGGCGGAAAUUCAUAGGUUCGCCACGUGUCACAGGUGUUUUUGCCGAGCGACGCACUCGGUAAAACUUGUUGGUUUAAAAAAAAAACGCCACAGACGCCGCUGCUGCCAGCGCCACCACAGCGCGUGCAUGUGCUGCUGUCGGCCAAUCUCUCUACCGUGCGCCACCGCUGCCAACGCGUGCUGCCGGCGGUGCUGCUGCUCUUCCUGCUUGCCGCUUGCGCUGCUGCUUGCUUCCUUGAUAGCCGACGCUGCUGCUGCUGCUUGCUUCCUUGAUAGCCGACGCUGCUGCUGCUGCUGCUUGCUUCCUCCCAAGCCGGCGCUGCUGCUAUUGCUGCUUGCCGGUGCAGCUGCUACUGCUUGCUUGCUUGGUUGCCAGCAAGUGCUGCUUGUUUGCUUGGCCGCGAAUCCAAGCACACGACGGCCACCAUGAGAGGAGGGAGACAGCAGGACUUGACCACGCCGACGAGUGUUUCCGAAACGGCGCGACGGGCCGGAGGUGUCACAUCUCUUGUGGGGCCACUGGUUCAUGGAGAGCUCGACGAGUACGGCGAUGCUAGACCGGUGUGCCGGUGGGAGAGCUAUGGUUGCAAGGAAGAGAGAGUGGCCGGCCAUGGCAAGAUGGGCAGUGUGUGUGUGGGGAUGUGGUUGGUGCGGGAAAAGAUAAGAGAGAGUUGUGUGCGGCUGGGUGUGGGUUUGUGGAAAAGAGGGAUGAGAAGAGAUCUGUGGCUGUGAUUGAUUUCCAGAGAAGAUUCACCUAGUCAUAUCAUCAAUCCGUGUACUAGUCACGGAUUGGCCGAAAGUGUGCUUUCUAUUAUGAUUUUUACCGAGUGUAACACUCGACAAAUAUCAAAAAAUAAAUAGAAAUACUAUAAAUAGACCAAAAAAAUUGUCAAAACACUAAGUUGUUUUUCCAUAUAGUGACUACUUGUUAACCCAAUGUUUAGGACAGAGUUAUCUCACACUUGCAUUUCAAAUUUCAAUUACUUGUUUCACAUAAAAUACUCAUUUUUGACGCUUACAAAAUAGAAAAUGUUUUUUUACAAAUAAGUUGGAUACUCUAUUUGGGAGCAUUGUUUGUAAUGGCAAGAUGGACCUAUGCGACAAAUUUCACCACGUCAUUACAAAAUAUAAAAUGAUAACGGUCACCAUCGUAGUAAUUUGGCAUGAAUGUUCAUCCUGGAUAGUCCAUUUUGUGAAGAUUUUUUUUUUCAAAAUUGUCAUAUUGCAAGUUUGGUAUUUUUUUCUCACAAAUAGUACACGUAAAAGGGGUUCAUAGUUUUUAAAUUUUUUUACGACAGAGAUAUCACACACUUGCAGUUUAAAUUUGAAUUACUUUCGGGUUAUUGACAUAAAGUCAUUUAAAUGUGCGAAAGUAGCUAGAAAACUAUAAAAUCCAUGUUGGGAAUUGUGCAUAAAAUAUGGUCUACUUACUGUGAUAAUUGGAGUGGUACCAUUUUGCACCCUGAUUUUUUUGUACAAAAAAGUAGGAAACUCUAUUUGGUAACAUUGUUUCUAAUGUCAAUAUGCACCUAUCCGUCCAAUUUGGGGACAUUUUAAUAAACUAUGCAAUGAAUAUGACCAUCACCUUGGUCCUUUGACUUGAAAGUCAUAAAUGUUCAUACACGAUAGCCCGUUUUGUGAAGGUAUUUUUCUAAAAUUUAUUAUAUUGAAGGUUUGGUAUUUUUUUCUUGCAACUAGUACACAUAAAAGGACUCCAUGCGAAAGGAUUGCAUUUUUUAAACUUGUAUUCUUUUUCUUUCAUUUUUUCCAACACGGGGUCAAAAUAGUCGACAUGGCUAUUCAUCACAACGGGUUGAAUCUCACAAAACUCUAAGUGGUUCUCCCAUAUAAUGAUUACAUGUGUAUCUAAAAAUAUUUUUUGCUAAUUUUUGUGACUGAGCUAUCACACACUUGCAGUUCAAUUUUGAAUUACUUUCGGGAUAUUGACAUAAAGUCAUCUAAAUGUGCGAAAGUAGCUAGAAAACUAGAAAAUCUAUGAAACUUGGGAAUUGUGCAUAAAAUAUGGUCUACUUACUGUGAUAAUUGGAAUGGUGCCAUUUCGCACCCUGAUUUUUGUACUUGCUUCACAAAAAUCACCCAUUUUUGACACUUAGAAAAUAAAACUUGAUUCUUUUUUUGUACAAAAAAGUAGGAAACCUAUUUGGCAACAUUGUUUCUAAUGUCAAUAUGCACCUAUCUCUCCAAUUUGGGGACAUUUUAAUAAACUAUGCAAUGAAUAUGACCAUCACCUUGGUCCUUUGACUUGAAAGCCAUGAAUGUUCAUACACGAUAGCCCGUUUUGUGAAGGAUUUUUAUUCAAAUUUAUUAUAUUGAAGGUUUGGUAUUUUUUCCUCGCAACUAGUACACAUAAAAGGACUCCAUGCGAAAGGAUUGCAUUUUUUAAACUUGUAUUCUUUUUCUUUCAUAUUUUCCAACAUGGGGGCAAAAUGGUCGACACAAGGGGUUAAAUCUCACAAAACUCUAAGUGGUUCUCCCAUAUAAUGAUUACUUGUGUAUCUAGAAAUAUUUUUUGCUAUUUUUUUAUGACUGAGCUAUUGCACACUUAAAGUUCAAUUUUGAAUUACUUUCGGGAUAUUGACAUAAAGUCAUUUAAAUGUGCGAAAGUAGCUAGAAAACUAGAAAAUCCAUGAAACUAAUUGUGCAUAAAAUAUGGUCUACUUACUGUGAUAAUUAUGGUGGUGCCAUUUUGCACCCUCAUUUUUGUAGUUGCUUCACAAAAAACACCCAGUUUUGACACUUAGAAAACGAAAAUUGAUUUUUUUAUACAAAAAAAAUAGGAAACUCUAUUUAGAAACAUGGUUUGUAAUGUUAAGAUGCACCUUUGUGUCUAAUUUGGGAUCAUUAUAAUAAACUAUUCAAUGAAUAUGACCAUCACCUUGGUCAUUUAAGACCAUAUUCAUAUUUAGCAUGCAAAAAGUGUAAUUAAUAUUACUUAAAUGAAAAAGGUUUCAACAUGAAAAUUAUCUGUCUCGUCAAAAUGAACGAAUUUGAUUUCUGGAGCAUCUUCAUCCAAGGUCAUAUGCAACCUGUACAGCCAAAACCAUGCAGUUUAGCGGAAAUCCCCUUUUGCCGAGUGUGACACUUGGUAAAGACCUGCUUUUACCGAGUGUGACACUUGGUAAAACCCUGUUUGUCGUGUUUUGUUUGAUUUACCGAGUGUUUUAUCCACAACACUCGGCAAAGUGCCUGUUUGCCGUGUUUCCCGUUUUUGCCGGGUUAGGUACUCAGCAAAGAUGCUAUUGCCGAGUGUCCGAUAUAAUGCACUCGGCAAAGAGAAAAAUUCCAGUAGUGGCUACAUGCGAACUACUCCUAAUUACCUAGCUAGGCCCAUGUAUGAGAUCAUACGUUCCAGGCCUAGAGACAUCAAUCCAGCUAUAAAUGGAGCACUAGUCUGAUGGGAAGCCAACUAUCACUAGUCUGAUCGUUAUUUUUAGAGAUUGUUCUUAUGAUCCCCGACCAUGCCUCAUCCUUUCAAGAAGACACGUGGCAUGUGGGAGAUGUUGUAACUUGGUAGAGAGAUAGAUCCGCUCCUCUGUAUGCUGUGGCCGUUCCCAUCUCCACCUCCCGCGUCCACAAUACCCUGUCCCUGAGAUAGGCGCCUUGCCGGAGCCUGCCUUCCGGCCUGAGAUCGACCCUUCUCCCUUCCGUACGGCUGGAUGAAUCGUUAUUUCAGGCAGUUCUUACUGAUGAGACGUAGAUCUAAAGCCUCAUCGCGUCCGUCUCUCGGAACUGCAAAAUACAUGCUCUGUUUAGGCAUAUUCUACCCUGAAAGAGCCGCCCCAGACAAUAUUACAUUUAAAACAUGAUCUUGGUAAAAAAUCCAAACCCUUGAUACUUUGAUAGAGACAAACUCCUUCUUUUGGGACCCGGUUAAAUACACUGAAUGAACAAUGAAAAUCCUUGCACGAGCACACGUGGGCAAGAAUGUUUGACCAGAGGUUUCAGCGGGCGUACUAAACGAAUAUAUGCAACUAUGGAUGAGGAUCACGGAGGUGGAACUAGUGCAGGAGGAUCAUGACUCGGUUAUUUGGGCAUGGGGAAGGAAUGGAGAGUUCACCACAAAAUCGGCCUACGACGCCAAGUUCUGGGGGCGUGAGGGGGUGCCAACAGCGUAGUUCACCUGGAGAUCCAAGGCACCAAUGCAAUGCAGAUUCAUUAUAUGGCUUGCCGCCCGCAACAGGUGCUGGACGUCCGACCGGCUAGCAAGAGGUGGACUUGACCAUCAAGAUAGAUGCCCUCUAUGCGAUCAAGAGGAAGAGACCAUAGACCAUAUCAUGUUGCAUUGUGUGUUUGUAAGAGAGGUGUGGACAGCGAUUCUGCAAUCACUGGGCAAGACGGAAUGGAUGCCAACGGGUGGACAAAGCAUCGUGGGGUGGUGCACGGACAAGGGAGGUACAACGCGGCAAAAGAGAGACCGAGCGGCUGUAUUCAUUCUUGCCAUGUGGGAGCUAUAGAAACAUCGGAAUGCCGUGAUUUUUGAUGGAGCAUAGCCGUCUAAGAAUUACGUCAUACUUCGGAUAGGCAAGGAGGGAAGAGCAUGGAAGCAAGCGGGGUUACUAAAAGGAGACAUGAACACCUUCUUUAAUGCAGUAUAAAUGCGGGCUAGAACAACAACAACAAUAAUUUAGGUCAUGCGAUAGGUGGAAGUAAGGGUGGUGUCGUGUACAUGUAGAUUGUAAACACUGACGUGGAGGGGCUCUUUACCCCACUCAUUUCUUUAUAUACACACUCGUGUGUAUCGAGAAAAUAAACGAAAAUCCUUUUCUGAGCCCGGGCUCAUCUUCACCCGUGUUCAAAAAAAAUAAAUCAAAAUAAAUACUAGAAAAUUCAAAAAACAAAUACAGUUUUUUUUGCAUGGUAGACAAUUUGAUGCGUGAGGUCCAUCCUAAUUUUCAAAUCAUUUGGACAACAGAGAAACUCUUGGCAAAAAGAAAACAAAUUCGGGGUCGAUAAAACAGUUUACUGUUCAUCUACCGUUUUGAUCCAAUUUCUUUUUUUUUUGCCGAGAGCCACUCAGAUGUCCAAAUGAAAUAAAAAUUGAAGCGGACCUCGCGCAAUAAAUUGUCAGCCAUGGAAAAUUUUUAGAGGUUUUUGAUUUUUUUAUGAAUUUAUUUCUAACCGGAUGCAGAUGAGCCCGGGCACGGAAUCGCUGCACUCUACCAUUGUCUCGAGUCCCGACUCAUAUUGUAAGAAUUGAGUUGCUAUUCCAUAGUAAAGCAGGUAAUUAUAAGUCGCUGCCAGGAAUAGGUCUUUGACGAGAUAAGCAGAACCAGCGAGCACAUGUUUAUACGAGGCUUCACUGGUUUGAUACUCCGGAUACUCCCUAAGGAAUGGAUUGCAUGCUACACCUGCUGCAGCAGCUACACCAUACAGUGUCGGCUAAAGGGCGCCACCCAUGUUGGAUCGCUCAAUCAGAGUAUCAACAGGACGAGGACACUUUCUAGGUGUUCAGUACGCUGAACUUGUACAUGCUUCUUUCCCCAUGCCUCCUAGUCAUACAUGCUUGUUUGGCGGAUUGUCUCCGUUUUAUGCCUGGCCUAUUUACUAUGUGGAAGUGCUUGGAUAAUAAGAGUUCUAUCAAAGUGUCUAAAGCGUAGAUGAAGGAGACACGAUGGGCUCAGAUAGGGUGGAAUAUAUGGGAGAGAGAGAAAACACUGUUUGGACAAGUGAAGGUAGGUGACGGCUUACUUUCUAUAUAAACACAUAUGUUCACUUGAGAUUUUAGUCAUGAUAUCUCAGUUAAGAUGUCAAGAGCUCUGGGGUCGAGGAAAAUGACUGAAGAACUUCCUUUUUUGGAAAAAACUGAAGAAAAUGUUUCCAAAAAAGCUUUCAUAUUUUUGGCAAAGCAAACCUCUAAUUUUCUUUACUAGCAGCCAACAAUGUUUUUCCUCAAAAGCAAAACAAAAGCCAAUAAUAGAAAUUGUAAUCCUUCUGCUUGCCACCUGGUGCACAAGGAGGGCUAGUUGUAGUUCAUUAAGCUGGUAAAGUUCGCAUUGCAUUUUCGAAUAGACGUUUUUAUACCAUUUGUGUUAAGGAAACUUAAAAUUAAGGCCGUGUUCGGAAUCCCUCCACUCCGUGGAGCUCGGUUUGAGCCGCUCCGUGAAAAUGGGCUGCAGCCUGCUCCGCCCAGGCGCGCAGUCGAGGGAGCGGAGAGGAACAAAAUUGACCACAUUUUUAGGUAUACUAUGAUUAGGAGGCAUAGGGAAAUAAACAAAUACUACAUGGGUGGAAUUUUGUUUCAACCAAAAAAUGUGGUCAAUUUCCCUUAUUAUUAGCUCCAUUUUUUAUUAUUAGCUCCAUUUUUUGGUUGAAACAAAAUUCCACCCAUGUAGUAUUUGUUUAUUUCUCUAUGCCUCCUAUUCUCCAUUAAAAGAGCUGAAUCGGAAAGAAAGAAUUAUUGGUCCAUGAUCACUUCUCAAGUUCUCAUGCAUUAUCUGGAGCACAACUGCAUACUGCCCCACACUUCUCCGGAUUAGUCAUAUGACACAUUGGACAUGGCAAUUAAUCACACAAACCAAGCCACCACACACGCGCAUUACCAAGUUAGAUUCUCGAUUGGUAUUUACAUGGAUAAGACAGUGUAUGAGCACAAUAUGUGCUCACACGUAGGGCUCGUUGGUCUUGAGUCAUGUUGGUAUAGAGGCCGGAUAUAAUUUGUAUCUUCUUGAUAUUAAUAUAUAUUUUUUAUUGGAAAAAGUUACAUGCAUGCCUUCCUUCCUUGAAUUUGAGCAUUGUUCUCCUUGUGGUAGAUUUGUUCUUGGAUGUUCAAGUGAUCUUGCAAAUCUUCAAGGGCUCUCUACUCUCAUCUUACCUACAUUUCUUCAACUCCACAAAGAAUGGCCUCUAUAAAAAAAACUUGGCCCUUCUUUACAUGUGUGCUCAUGUGUUGUACGCUCAAUUAAUCAGAGGGUGGAAGGUUUGUCCUUAAUUAUCAACUCUGUGCUCAGCAACAUGGUCCUUUGGUGAAUGAGUCAUAACCAAAAACUCAUUGAUUGUGCUACAGCUCGUUCAGGUGCGGAGCCAGCUGGUUGAUGUUUGCCAAAGUGCAUUACUGAAGGGGGUAGUGCAUUCCAGAAAAUUUCUUGUACGUACAGAACACGGCUAAGUUCUCUCACAGGAUCAAGAAGCCGACUGUCCUGCCGAAUCUCUUUUUUUUAGAACGAAGGCUCAAGAAAUGUCCGGCUUUGAAUUAACAAAGCUAUCAACCGGCCAGGAUUACAUGGUCAACACCUUACGAGGAAAAGCAAAGAGAAGCAAAGCGAACGGUACAAGGAGCUCAAGCAAAACAACUCGAAGGAAGCUGUGAAAGCGAGCUGAAGCAUCACCUGCAAUAGCAUAACUAAACUAGGGUCUUGGGAGGAAUGCACCACCGUGCAAACUUCGUGAUCACAACCACCCUCGAAGACAGUAAUGGACGAAACCACCAUUUGUUACUGCCACUGCAAAGGUCCCCUACCCUUUCAUCCUGGCUCGAAGGAUGCUGCACCGGCAGCGGUGAGCUCAGUUCACCCUAGAACCCUCCCAAUCUACAUACGGAGAAGUUAGAGCAGACCUGCAAGCCCAGGACACACUACUCAUGAGCACCAUCGUCGUCUGCAGCUCAGCCCUACCGAUGGGCGAGAGCUGCCAGCCACAGUCGCAGAAGCAAGGGCAUGUCAAAGGCCAAGAGCAAGAUUCGCCAAAGCAUAGGGCUCCUACCAAAUGGUAUAUUGUGGCCUCCAUAGAGGGGAACCGGGUCCCUUCUCACCUAGGCCCGUGGGCGUCGUCGACCCUCCGACGACCUCGUCAGGGACCAUCCAAGCCUGCAACCUAAGAAGAAACAAUGUAGAAUGCAAACCAAGUUGUCUCCCGCCACCAUCGCAUCCACAACCAAACUCUCUGGCCGCCUCUGCGAUCCUCAGACAGUGUCUCCAAAAAGGGACACGACACGGACGCGCCGUUGUCACCCGAAGCAGAGGACCUAGGCUUUCACCUAGCAGGGGACGAAAGUAGGGGGGAGAGGAUCCACACCACAGCCUCCAAGGAGGGGAACAACGCCCAAGGCGUUGCCUUUGGUGUAACUGCCUCGCUGGCCAGGGGUUCCCCUCAGAUCCAACCCCACCCGACGAGUUCCACACAGCCGGCAGCGGCAGCCUAAGCCACUAUGUUGGAACUUCGUCCACAGGAUCGAUCACAUCAAAUCACGAUGAACACACACACACACAAAACUGAUAGCUAAGGGCUCUUGUCGUGCCCUCUGAUUCUCUUUAUUUUCUGUUUUCUCCACUCCACGGUACAAUCUGAUAUUACAUGACCCCUAUACCCGCAUAUUUAUAUGCGUGAACCUGCACGACUGGCCGGUACAAACCGACUCUGACUACUACUAUAAUCCUAGCUAAACCUCCACGUACUUGCUCUUGAGUCCAAACCGGACUCACCUUGACGCACGGCAAGGACUACUACUUCGGCACUAACCAGUACGUACAUGGAAUCAGCUAGCACCAUGAUAUGGAAGCCAACGCUAACACGUGUACAUACAGUCAAAUAGUAAUCCCAGCCGGACAACUAUUACUUAGGCGACACUAACUAAUUAAUUUAGACAAGAUUACCUAACACACUAGGACCCAGGUCCGGCGAUGGAAGGAGCAGGUCAGGGCAGGGGAUAUGGGCUUCAUCUGGCGGUGGCAUACCUGCAGGGAGUGAUGCACACCAGAGACCGAGGACCGCCAUCGUCUCAUCACCCGCGUGACCAAGGGAAGCACCUUGCCAGCACCAAUAGGAGCGUCCCGCCGCCAGGGCCACCCCGCACACACUGCUCGCGGCCGCCGCUCCGGAUGCCGAGGCCCGCCACACGUCGUGGAUCAGUCGGAUCCCCGCCGCCACCUUCAUCGUUGUUGAGCGCGCGCGCCGGAGCAGACAUCAGGGGGCGGCAGAGGGAGAGGAGGGGCACGGCGGUGGUGGCAUGGGGGGAGGGGCGUCUUGCCGAAGCUCGAUGUGGCAAAGACCUUCGACUCAGUGUCAUGGGGCCGAAGCUCAGUGUGGCAAAGACCUUGGACUCGGUGUCCUGGACAUACUUGUUGGAUAUGCUUCGGGCUCGCGGUUUUGGGCAUGAUGGAUGGAAUGUAUGGCUAUGUUAUUAAGCUCCUCUUCAUCACAGAUCGUCAUAUGGCUAUGUUAUUAAGCUCCUCUUCAUCACAGAUAAUCAUCAAUGGGCAAACCUCAGACUUCAUGCAUCAUCGCCGUGGUGUGAGGCCAGCCAACCCCUUGUUUCCGUCAUUUUUAUCCUGGCUAUGGAUCCGUUGCAACAUAUGUAUACUCUUGCUGGCCAUCGACGCUGUGAAUGGCUUGGUAGGCGCGUAACAGGCCGUGGGUGGGAUCCAAAUUGCCUUACGACGAAACAGCAACAACACUACCUGGCAUCGAGUAAUUACAGAAUAAAACUGUCUACUUUGAUAACAAUUUGGGGAGCGAAACAGUAUUACCAAUUUAGUAAGUCCAAGAAUGUACUGGAGACUGGUGUAUAGUUACUGUUGUAAUUAUGCAGGAAACAGACUUGCGAGCAAUGAAGAAGAAAUGACAUUGUCGUAACUAAACUUCAGUCAGUCCAUUUAUUUUGAUAGGCGAAACCCACAUAAAUUGCCACUCUAAGAGCCUCUUAUUCGUUUGAUAAGAUGUCUCUCUCAACAUUCUUGUUUUAACUAGCUUAGUUGUGUUUCCUUCUUCUAGUUCUACAUCACAUUGCAUGUCAGCUAAAUGCAAGCAACUAAAAUUUCACACUAUGAGUAGCUUACCUGAAUUUACUUUAUUUGUGUGGCCAGAGAAAGGUGACCUGUACAUGUGGGGAAAUGCAAGAGACUGCAGGCUAGGCGUUCCCGAUCUUCCAGAAGUGCAACCAUUACCUGUUAAAGUUAAUUUUCUUGCUGACGGUGAUGAGGAUCCAAGACCUCCUCGUGUCAUCUCGGUUGCAAUAGGCGCUUCCCAUGCCAUGUGUUUGGUCUCCAGGCAACAGAUUCAGAAAUAGCAGCUGUUGCUUAUCAGCUUUGUAAAUUCAGUCAAAUUUGGACCUCCUAACCUGCGAGUACGACAUGGAGAGGAUCAUGUUCUCUAUUGGUUAGAGCCUGCCUACUCUGUUGGCGAAAACUCCUGCUCGGUGAAGCCCAAC